RNAcentral lists this long non-coding RNA (51854 nucleotides) under Vitis vinifera (wine grape). RNAcentral's name for it is "long non-coding RNA (VVIN_LNC001852)". Lineage: Eukaryota; Viridiplantae; Streptophyta; Magnoliopsida; Vitales; Vitaceae. The record is from RNAcentral.
UGUCUCAACACCUUAGCAUUCUUGACACCGUUCUUGAUGGAAGGUAAAUUUUAUAUUUCGACAUUUCAGUAUUAAAAUAACAAUCGCCAUGUAAAUACCUUUAAUUCUGAUCUUGUUAUAUGCUUUCUAGUUCUUCAAAGGACUCCUUAGUAAGAAGCUAUAAAAGGAGUUUCAAUGGAUUCGCAGCUCAUCUCACGGACAAACAAAUAGAAAAAGUGGCUAGUACGUAAUGCCAAAUACUUGUGUAAUUAAGCGGAAUAUAUAUUUAUUUUAAAAAAAAUUUAUAAUGUUUUAUAUGUUAUACAGGCAUGGAGGGAGUGGUGUCUAUUUUCCCAAAUAGACUUCUCCAACUUCACACAACCAGAUCUUGGGACUUCAUGGGAUUUUCUGAAACCGUUAAACGGAAUCCCACGGUUGAGAGUGAUACUAUUAUAGGUGUUAUUGACUCUGGAAUCUGGCCUGAAUUACAAAGCUUUAGUGAUGAAGGUUUUAGUUCAAUUCCAAAAAAAUGGAAAGGUGUUUGUCAAGGCGGCAAAAAUUUCACUUGCAACAAGUUAGCUUCUUAAUUAUAUUAUUCUCUUUAUUUGAUUAAACUCAAACUUCAUCUCUCCAGGGCCCCCUUUGGUGUCUGUUAUUGAACUAGUCUUUGGUUUUGUUGCAACUUGAUUUUUACAGGAAGGUAAUUGGAGCUCGAGCAUACAAUUCAAUUGAUAAAAAUGAUGAUUCUGCAAGGGACACUGUCGGUCAUGGAACCCACACAGCCUCCACAGCAGCUGGCAACAUAGUAGAGGAUGCGAGCUUUUUUGGGGUGGCAUCAGGAAAUGCAAGAGGAGGGGUUCCUUCUGCAAGAAUAGCCGUGUACAAAGUUUGUACUGCAGAUGGAUGCACCAUUGCAGAUAUCUUGGCUGGCUUCGAUGAUGCCAUUUCUGAUGGGGUUGACAUCAUUACUGUAUCAUUAGGAUCCGUUGCUGGAGCCUUUUUUUUGGAUAAGGACCCCAUAGCAAUUGGUUCUUUUCAUGCUAUGGUGAAAGGUAUUUUAACAUUGAAUUCUGCAGGAAAUAAUGGUCCAUCACCAGGUUCAGUCCUAAGCAUCGCUCCAUGGAUGGUCAGUGUAGCUGCAAGCACCACAGACCGUGAAAUUAUUACCAAGGUUGUUCUUGGGGAUGGAAAAAUAAUAAAUGUAUGUAUUCUCAAUUCCACUUCAAUUUGAUCUCUUAACCAUUAAUAUAUAUAUAUAUAUAAGGGUAGAUAUUCUUGAUGCAUCUUACAUAAUCUUAAUUAAGCUUCUUACUAUUCGAAUUCUAUAAUAUUUUCUGUAUGUAUACAGGGUCAUUCAAUCAAUUCUUUUGUGUUGAAUGGAACCAAGUUUCCCCUUGUAGAUGGGAAAAAGGCUGGUUUAACUAAUAAUAGUGAUUGUGUUACUUAUCCUACUCUGUAAGUUCUGCUCUCCAAGUCAUAUGAAUCUUGAACUUGCUUCAAAAAGAAAGUAUUUAAGAUUGAUGAAAUUAUUGUGAUAGUUGAGGGAUUUGAAGAAAAUGUAUGAAACUGAUGGAAUCAUUGUCGCGUUUCAGGGAUUGUGAAAUAGACUGUCUAGUGGAAAGCAAAACAACCGGAAAUAUUUUACUGUGUAGAGGCCCUGGGCUAGAUGUGCCUCUAAAGUUUGGGGCCGUUGGCAUAAUCAGACCAGAUUUAGGUCGUUCUAUAUACCCGUUGCCAGCAUCAGAUUUAGAGGAACAAGAAUUUGCAAUGGUCGAGGCCUACAUCAACUCCACCAAGUGAGGAUAUUAACAUUGAAAAACCUAUUUUAAUUGUUCCUGUGAAGUACCAGUUUGUCCCUUAAUUUAUGAUUAUUCCAUCAUCUUUCAUCAAAAAAGAAAUACAAUCCUAAGAUUCAGAGUAAUCUACAGAAAACCAGAAGCGGAUAUAUUGAGAAGUGAUUCCAUCAAAAAUGUUUCUGCUCCUAUGCUAGCUUCAUUUUCAGGACGAGGGCCAAGCAGUCUCCUAGCUGAGAUUAUAAAGGUACACCCAAAUUCACAUCUAGAGCUUGUCACAGUUUUUGUUUCAUUUCAUGUUUUUAUUUACUGAAUUCUCUUAAAUAUUGUUGCAGCCAGAUAUAAGUGCUCCCGGAGUAGAUAUCUUGGCGGCAUUUUCCCCAGUUGCUCCAAUUACAGAGUCCCUGGAUGACAAAAGGAGAGCUAAGUACAGUAUAAUAUCGGGAACAUCCAUGUCUUGCCCCCAUGCUGCUGGAGCUGCUGCUUAUGUUAAGACUUUCCACCCAGACUGGUCUCCUUCCGCCAUCCGAUCUGCCCUUAUGACUACUGGUAAAUGGGGUCCCAGCUAGCUUUGUUGAGAUUGUUCAAAAAAUAAAAAAUAAAUCUUAAAUAUACUCUAAGCUUACGAAUUUCUUAUUUAUAGCCUGGCCCAUGAAUGCUACUGCAAAUCCAGCUGCUGAAUUUGGUUACGGAUCUGGGCAUAUUAAUCCAGUGAAAGCCAUAAAUCCUGGUCUGGUUUAUGAAGCCUUUAAAGAUGACUACAUAAAGAUGAUGUGCGGACUAGGCUUUGACGCAGAGAAGGUAAGGCUCAUAUCAGGAGACAACACUACCACUUGUACUACAGGUGUUACCCAAGGCGCUGUAAGGGAUCUCAACUAUCCUUCCAUGGCAUCUACAGCCGACCAACACAAGCCUUUUAACAUUAGAUUUCCAAGAACAGUUACCAAUGUUGGCCAGGCAAAUUCCACUUACCAAGCAAAGAUCACUGCAGAUCCUCUCAUGAAAGUCCAAGUAAAUCCUAACGUUCUCUCCUUCACAUCAUUAAAUGAGAAAAAAACUUUUGUGGUAACAGUUUCAGGAGAAGCAUUGGAUAAACAACCCAACGUAUCUGCAUCGCUGGUGUGGACCGAUGGCACUCAUAGUGUGAGGAGUCCCAUUUUUAUCUAUCAACUUCCCUCAACCUGAGGAGUCCCAUUAGUUGUUGUGUAACAUUUAUGGUUGAAUUAAAUUCCCUGAGCUUCACAGCUUUACUCUAAAAAAUUAAGGUCAUUUAACUAUUUGGCCGUUCAGGGAUAUUGCAUGUUUUCCUUGUAUUUUUGUUUAAACAGAUGAUUAAUCUAUUCGUGGGUGAAGUCAUUUUAUAUUUUCUGUCUAUCUAAUUUUUAUAAUUAAUGCAACUAAUUUUGUGCCACACUACAAGAGAAAAGGGAUAUGUUCAAUUAGUUUUGGUAAGGAUUAGAAAAAUAGGCAACUAAAAUAUGAUAUAUGGCUACGCACAUGCUCCAUUCAUGUCUAAGGGUAUUGGCAGAUGGUUGGAAAUUUCCCCAGAAAACCCUGCGGUUGCUCAAGAGAUGCUACCAUAGAAGGUCCUAUAGAGGUCGCCUUCUUUGGGUCGCUCCCACAGAAGGUCCUAUAGAAGCACAAAACAUGAUCUUCACCUUCAAUAGAAUUUGCCCUAAUCCGCUCUUCAAAACCCUAACUUUCAUUUGCUUCAGUUCGAUCUUAUAGUCUUUGUAUGGAACCCUAACUUUCAUGUUUUCGUUUCUGGAGAUUUCUUUUCCACAUUGCAAAGAAAAUAGAUUUCUACAUUUCAUUAAGAUCCAUGGCCUCGGCAACGACUUCAGCAUCGUACUCUGUAAUUUUCUCUACAUUUCAAUAACUUUCCUAUUUUAAUAUUGUUUGGCCGAAGAAAAUUGUGAAUUAGUCAAAAGUAAGGAAUGAUUGUAUGAUACCUUUAAAAUCAUGAAAACUUGAUUCCUUUGAUUUUCCAUAAUUUUCUAUGCAAUUAAAUAAAGCCUUCCAAUUUUUCAUUCUUGGUUUCUUCAUUUGAAUUUUUUUUCUUAUUUCUAUUUUUUGAGGCAAUUUUCAGGUUUUCAUGGCUUGAAUCAAUCUAGAAGAACUUGAAUGUUUUUUUUUUUUUUUUUUUCCUUUUUGGAAAUCAGUUGAGAGUAUUUUGGAUCUUUCUUUAGUUACUUUGGGUUCAAUCUCUGAUCUGGUUGUAAAAGUGGAAGAAAUAAAGAGAAUAAGUGCUUUUUAUUUUCUUUUUUAUCGUGGAAAUUGUGGAGCCACUAUAAGAAAAAUGAGAAAUAAUGACGUUUUUUACGUGUCAAGAAAGGCAAAAGAUGACGCUUCUCAAAAGCGUCCUCUUCGGCUUUGUCAUUAUAUGUGUUAGCCAACAAUGACGCUUCUAGAAAGCGCCAUCUUUGAUAAAUGCUUUUAAUGACGCUUAAAGAAGCAUCAUUUUUUAAUAAUGUUAAUAACGACACUCGUAAAAAGUGUCAUCUUUAAACAUAUUCUAGUGAAAUAAUUUUUACAAAAUUCGUAAUCUUGAUACUUAUUAGAGUGUCAUCUUUAAUAAAAUUGAUCAAUGACACGUUCAAAAGUGGCAUCUUUGAUUUAUGUUAAUAAUGACACUUAUAGAAGCAUCAUCUUUGAUCAUUUCAUAUCAAAAAUGAUAUUUAUAUUCUAUUGUAAAAAUAAUGAUUUCAUAUAUAAUUAAAUAAAAAGAAAGAAAAAAACUCAAAAUCAAAUUGAAUAUUACUAAUAAAGAUAUCUUCAAAUAUUGAUAUAUAAUAACUUAGUUCAAACCAUUAAUGUAACUACUUAUAUAUAAUAAUUGCAUACAAGUUUGUAAAUUACAUCAAAAUAUUUCGAACAACAAUUUCUAAUUCUUUCAACAAGAGUACAAAUAUUACUGCAACAACUAUUAAGAUUUAUAUUCUACAAAAAAAAUAUUGUUCAACCUUCAAAUGACUAAUGAUGCAAUCUUCAUGGUGGUUUUUGAUCGACAUCACCUCGUUUAACAAAUUGGGUUCUUUUCUUUUGGUAAACGAGUUUCCUUUGCAUCCUAUAAAAAAAUAUAGGAAGAAUUAAAAACUCAUAAAUUAUACAUGCAACAACGAAUAAAUACAAUUGAAACAAUAACUUUCAUAAAAAUUUGAAAGAAAAAAAAAAAAAAAAACUAGAACUAAUAUAAAAUGAAAUGAGAAAAUUUUUAGAAAAAUAAAUGAGUUAGAGUCUAUCACUUGAGGAUAAAAUGUUGUCCACUAAUUAAGUAGAAAAACUUUAUAAUAAAAUAGUGAUUCCUUAGUAAAUAAAAUAAAGUAAAAUCUUCAAGAGUAACGUAGUUCCAAAUAUGAUAUAACAUCAAAAAGUUAAAAAUAACGAAUCAUGGUACACCAAAACAACAAAAGGAUAAAUGAAACAUAAUAUAAAUAACUAACCAAAAUAAAUGUUCUACAAGCAAAGUUGUGAACAUAAAAAAUUCAAACAUACAAAGGAAAUACCAAAGAAAUAAACACACAGAAAAUACCAAAGGAAUACAAGACUAGGUGGAUGGCUUAUCUAGAGAUUCAAAAACUAUAAAUAAGGAGGGGGGAAGAUGUAAAAAGAAAUUUCCCUUAUCAUUAAUUUUCAUGUUAUAUUUUCUUAAAAAUUUUCAAAUCCUGAAAUCAUGAUAGGUUAGGCUCUAGACAUGACAUUUUUUUCAUUAACUUUUUUAUAGGUUGCUUUCUAAUAGAAGUAAAUUAAUUUUUUCAUUCAAUCAUCACUCAUCCUUUUUUAUUGGUCAAAUGGAAAAAAGAAAAAUAGAUAUACAUAUAUUUAAAAGCAAAUUAUUGAUUUUGAAAAAUGUUUCAGGGCAUUUUCAAGGUUGAUAAAAGGAUAACAAUUGAACAAAAUUUUCAUUCAUUCACCACAAAAAAAGAAAAUGUUGUUCAACUCCUUCCAUCUAUAAAGUGAACUAGUUAGUACAAAAUAGAAAAUCAAUUUUAUUAAAAGGAAAAGGUAAAGUUCAAUUUUCAUUCAUGUCAUCACAAAAAUUAAAUGGUUGCUCAACUCCUUCCAUCUAAACUAACUAGUUAGUACAAAAUAGAAAAUCAAUAUUACUAAAAAGAAAAGGUAAAUAAUAAAGAAAAAUUUUUAUUCGAAAAUACAAAAGAUUCACGCAAUUAUACCUUUUUCUUCUUCUCCCUUUUUCUCAUUUUGCCUCAUGAAAUGGAUCUAAGCAAGAGAAAACAAGAAAGCACCCACAUUAAGAUAUUGCAUGUAUUAUGGUAAAAAGUUAACAAGAGAAACUUGAAAGUAUAAACUAGAAGACUUAAACAAAUUUAAACAAAAGAAAAAAAGAAACAAGAAAAGAAAAGAAUAGAAAAUGAUUAAUACAAAGAUUGGACUUUUUUUUUUUAUAAUAUAAAAACCUAAAAAAUUAUAAAACCAACAAAAGUAAAGAAUAAAAAUGAAUGAGAUAGUAAUGAAUAACAUAUUGUCUCUUUUGAAUGAAUAACAUUGAUAAUAAAUUGAAAUGUUAAUGAGACAACAACCUUACUUGACAUGCCCGGAAGAACAUUAUUUCUAUGGAUCAAGUAGGUUACUUAAUCUACAAUAUCCUUCAUCUGAGAUAGAAUUCAUCAAUGGAAAUAUUAAGUAUUGACGAUAUUAUAUCUUAGAAAUCAAAUUGUGAUACUUCUAAGAUAACUUUUUCCCCUUAAUUUAACAACACAAUCAUCGCAUAUUCCAUCUUUAGUAACUUCAAGUACAUAUCCAAUGCAACAAGAAGGAGAACAACCCAAUAAAAGAAAAAAGAAAAUUGGGAGAAAAGGGAAAAUAAAAUAAAAUCUUGAAUCCUUUGUUAUUACGAGUUUUAAGCUUCCCAAAGUGAAAAUCUUACCUUUGUAAGCUUGACAGUUUCAUGUUACCUCCUGUCAAGUAGAUUUUGGUUUUUCUGUCCAAAAAUCAUAAAAGAAUUCAAGGUUCAAAACUUUGAUUUCUUUUCCUUUCUAACCCAUUUCUCAAUAACCAAAUAGAUCAUAAUUUAAAAAAUCCGUAACAAAAAUAUUAAUAAAUGGUAUGAGAAUGAAAAACAUCAUAGUUGAACAAUCUAAGUAAAGAUGAAAAUUGUCCAUGGUUUUUUAUGAAGAGAUACCAUAGAUCUAACAUACUAUGGCACCAUAAAACGUCACUAAAACACCAACUCUCCUUUCAAUUGCUAAGAAAAUGUAAGAAAAUUAACAAACACAAAAGAACCAAAACAGACUCAAAUACUAAACUUUAUAUGUUUAAUACCUUUCUAAAUGCCUUCUCAAAUGCUGCAACCAUCUCCAAAAUCGAAGUUCCUUUCCCAGUUCUCAAGUUGUACACUUCACAACUUGUUGUAGGAUAUCUCAUGAAAAUCAAUAUUGACAAGGUUUACUUCCCAUUUACUCAAGUGAUUUAUGACAAUGUCUAGUUCUAACCUCUCCUCAAAAAUUCAAUAUGCAAGUGCCUGCAGAGCUUGAAUUUUUUUAAUACAAGAAACAUUUUCUUUUCUAGGUGGUAGGUUAGGGAAGUAACAAAUACCAACACUUACUCAAGGAAGGGUUGGAGAGUGGGACCUACUAAAGAAACUUUUUUCUGACUAUUUUCAUUGCCCUAAGAAAAAUAUAGAAUCAACAACAUCCAUUGAAAUUAAUGACAUAAAAAAACUGCUAAAUUUCCUAGAAUAUUUCAGAAAUAGUGAUAUUCAACCUUGUAAACCCGAAAAUAAUCAGCAAUGGCAACCCUCUAUUCAUUGGUCAACUUGAAGAUGAUUGAAGUAUGAUCCAAAUCUUUAGAUGUUGUACAUAUAAGAAACCAGAGAAAAAAGAAAUUAUGAAAUGUUUAAGACAAGACCGAACACAUUAUACUCGGUUGAAUGUAUAAACAUAUAUGCCUUACCUCUAAGGGUAGUAUCAAUCACUUUAAUAGCUACUGCCAUUUGUGGCUAGCAAUCCAAGCAAACAUCAACACCCAAGCAGCAGAAGGGCAAGGAACAACUCUAAAGACACUUGAAAGAAGGGAGUAGCCAACACAAAUUCCAUUAGCAUGCACAAGAUACUUGCAUGACACCAACCAUCAUCAUCUUGAGAAAGCAAAAGAGAAGGAAAAAGGAAAAAUCUCCAUAAUCUGAUUUGCAUGCACACCCCUAGCUAAUACUAGAGCUUUCAAGUGAACUAAUUGUAGUAGUUGGAUUUUGAUUAAGAAUGGGUUGGGGCUCCAAUAAUUAUGGGGUGGUUCUACUUAAAUAGAAAUGGAUAUGAGGUGGAUACUUAUGUUAGGUGUCCCCGACUAAGAUCCUUUAAACCACCCUUCUAUUUAUACUUAAGAAAUAAAUUGAAUACUUUAAUUCACUCCUGACCAAAAAAAUGCAAACUCGGAAACGUAAACCCUUAUGAAACCUCAAAAGAAGUGAUCUAAAUGAAAUGAAUAAAAGUAUAUCAAAGUAAACCCUCUUAGGACUAGUCAUGUAAGUAUCCAAAAAAAUCUCCACACUGAGUAAUUAAACAAAUAGAACGAGUAAUAGGAAUCAAAGUGCAUGAUUUUCUAUACGAGAAACUUUAAGAUGAGACCCCUUCAUAACUUUUCAAGUCAUGAAAAUUAACAAAAAAUCAAACAGCAAAAGAAAACUAAAUGUUAUUUCUUGUAAAUGAAUGAAGUCCAAAGUGGUUAAUUAUUAUGUUUCUACAGUCUGAAGAAGUAAUCUCUAAAACCCAUUCAUGAUGAAUAACACUACACACAACAAGGAAAUGAUAUGGGAAUGGAAAAAUAGUACCUGAAGGCUCCAAGGUUAGAGUAAGAGAGGUUGUCAAAGUCAUUGGUCUGAGAGUUUCUGAGUAGAGAGCCACAGUUGAAAAAAAAAAUUAUUAAUUAAAUACUCAAUAUAUCAUGUGGUGAAUUUAUUUUCAGUUUGAUUUUUUUUUUAAAUUGAAAUUUCUUUUAAUACUUGAAAAAGAUGAUAAAAGCAUAUAAAAAAAACAUAGCAAUAGCUAGAUUUAAAUUGUUUAGAUAUGAUUUUAUAGGUUAAAGAACUGUAAUAAUCCAUUGAAAAAAAUAGUUAAGAGAUAAUUGAUGUAAUUUUUAACAAAAAAUUAUAGGGGCUUGUACUAUAUUUUUUAACAAAUACCAAUUUUUAUUGCUUUUGGUAUAAUGUGUACAAAUUUAAUUAUAAUUUAUAAAGUAACCUUUGUGCAAAUUUAUAAAUUCAUAAUAGCAUUAUGUCCAACAUCUUUUAGCCACAAUUUGUACUCUCAACUUCUAAGUUGAUGCCCAUAUUUUGUCACUUCAUAAUAAUGUCUCCAUGAGCAAAGAUUAUGCACAUUUUAAUCAUUGGAACUCUCCAUCUAUUAAUCUUUUUUUUUUUUUUUGGGUUACAAAAUGGAGAAAAGAUAUGUGAAUUUCAUUUUGCUUUUGGGCACCCAGUGGCUGAAGGUUCAAGGCGCCUGUUAUCUUCGUACCAUAAUUCUAGUAAAUACUGAAAUGGAAAUCUUUGGUUUAUGCAUAGACUCAAUAAUUAAAAAUAAGAUAAAAAUAAAUUCAACAAAAAUCAACCUUAUGAUGACCAAAAGGAUAAAAACUCUCCACUUCUCCACAUCAACCAACGUCUUUGCCACAGGCAAGGCUCAUGGUGAUGGACCAACAAAAAUAAGCUUGAAACAAAAUGAUACUCUUACCCAUGGGGACAAUGUCCAUGCUAAUAAACUCAUUUUUUUUAAAGACUACACUAGGGAAAUCCAAGUCAUGAAGAACAGAAUCUCAAACUUGCCAUUCAAAAAUCUCCAAACACAGGUUCAAAUUGUUGUGUCAAUCUCGCUGACUUUGAAUUCAAACCCUAAAAGUAUUGUUCAAAACCACACAACACAUUAUAAAAUCAAUCCUAAAAUGAGAAAACUAGAUUUUAAAAUCCCAAACAUAUGAAUCUAAAAUAACAAAACCCAAACAUAAAAUCAAAACUAAAAUCAACCUCAAUAAAUUUCAGAAACGACAAAUUAAAAUAGUAAAGCACAAAAGGGGGAAAACACAUAUGAAACAAUCUUUAUACAAGCCCUAACCAUAGAUAAACCCAAAAAAAAAAAAAAAAUCAAAGCAGAGAGUUACCAUUGAGCAUCUCUGUUUCAAGCUUAGAAAAGGUUUAAUGCCAUUGAUAACUAGCUGGUUAAUAGUGGACUUCAAGCUUCUGUAUUUCGGCGUUAGUAGCUCUCAACGGCUAUGGUGAGAACAAAGAAAUGAGAGGCUUAGGGUUUGGGAUGUGAGGUUAUCGAUGAUGAUGAGGAUAAAGUUAUGGGCUCUUGGGAGGUUAGGGAAAUUGAAGAUGGCUGAGGGUAAAGGCUAGGGUUUUUGAGAUAGUUAAUAGCUUUUUAGGGUGUGAGUGUCCAUAGAUAAAAGAUAAAUGAGGGUAUGAGAAUUCAUAGAUCUUUAGGUGAUAUGUCGGGUGUGAGAAUGAAAUUUUAGAGGGAAUUGUGUGUUUGGCAAAAAUUUCACAUAUGUAUAUAUAAUGUUUUAGAACAUGGUGCUUUAAAAAUGCGACAAGGAAAAAAUUAUUUAUUGACGCUUAAAUAAAGUGCCAAGGUCUCCAACAAUUCUGUAAUCAAUGGCGUUUUUAAAAUGUGCCAUUGAAUAGGAGUGUCAUUGCUUCUCCAUAAAGCAUCAUUGUUAAUCAAGCCUUUAUAAAACGCCAAGAUAUGUUGCCACUUAGGUUAAAUAUUGACGCUUUUAAAAAACGUCAAGGAAAAAAACGUCAUUAUUCAUAUUUUUUUGUAGUAGUGAGUGGUUCUCUAAUUUUCUCAUCCACUGACAUCCUUCAUGUGUAAAAGAGAGCCUCCAAUACAUUGUAUUGUCAUUUGUGUUUGGGCUACUCACAUUGAGAUAAGGUCCAUGAACUUAUGGCAUUAUCAAUGCUUCCACAAUUUUCCUAGAAAAUUUUCUCCAAAUAGUUUUAUGUGAAAAUUUCACCCUGAAACUCUGAUGCCAUGCUAAGUAAGAUGUGUAUUUGCUCAUAUAUAUUUUCUUUUAUGCAUUCACUAGACUUUAUGGAAAAUGUGUUCAGUGGAUAAAAAAAUGCCUAGAACCACUAGCUCAAUUAAAAUAAGAAGGAAAUUGUGAAACUUUGGUUAUCAAUUUUUUUUUCCUUUAGUUGUUUUAGAGCUUUUGAUUGAUAUGAUAACUUGCAUUUUAAGUGACUUUAGAUAAUGGAAGAUGAAAUUUGAUAAUCAAGUUAGAUUUUUCAAAGUGAACAUCAACUAUUUGAUAAAAGCAUGUUAUGGAACUAGGUGAUCCUUGUUAUUUAAGAAACUUUAAAUGUUGAAAUUUAAAUUCUUAAUUUUAUUAUUAUAUAUGAUGCUAGAAUUGAUAUUGUCAUUCUUUGAAUAUUAGGAAGAUUGGUUUAUGUUUUGGUUAGGGGAGUUCUAUUUAAUCAUAAAUCUAAAGAUCAAUAAUUGUGGUUUUGAUAAUUCUUCAUUUUCAUUGAGUUUUGAAUUUUUCUGUCCAAGCUGCACACUGGUCUUCUACUUAGAUUAAUCAAAUUCCAUUUUUGUAAGAUUGUUAAAUAUCCAUGUAUUAUGUAGUAUUAUACAUGAAGGAAACAAAAUCUCUAUAGGUUCUUUGUGAAAAUACUUUGUGAUGUAUAUACUAUUUAUAAGGAUUUAUCAUAUAUAAAUAGAAAACCUAACCACACCCCCUCCCUCCCCUCCAUUUAAAAUAAGUAUGGUAGGUGAAUUAACUUUCUUCUUAGGAUUAUAGAUUAGACAACUAAAAAUGGAAUCUUACUUUCGCAAUCAAAAUAUGGUAGGGAGUUUGUUAAGAAAUUUGAUCUAAAAUCCACCAAACACUUAGGACACUUAUAAGCACUACCACUAAGCUUAGCAAAGAUGCAUCUAGAAAAAAUGUUGAGUAAAAACUCUAUAGAAGUAUGAUAGGUAGCUUAUUAUAGCUCACAACAAGUCGUCUUGACAUAUCUUUUAGUAUUAGAGCUUGUGCUAGGUACCAAGCAAACCCCAAAGAGUCACACUUAACUUCUAUUAAAAGAAGUAUAUAUUAUAUAAAUGAGACUCUUUACUAUAGUUUGUGGUAUCCCUAUGAUUCUUCUCUUGUGAUUGUUAGGUAUUUCAAUGUUGACUGGGCUGGAAAUGUUGAAUAAAAAAAAAAAAACACAACUAGUGCUUAGUAUUUUAUUGGUGAUUGUCUUUUGGCUUAGUUUACUAAGAAACAAAAUUCUAUAUCUUUAUCUGUUACCAAAGCCGAAUAUAUUGUUGCUGGAAGUUGUUGUACACAACUCUUGUGGAUCAAGCAAAUACUAAAAGAUUAUGGAAUUAAGCAAGGGACCAUGAACAUACACUAUGACAACUCUAAUGCUAUAAAUAUCUCAAAGAAUCUUGUUCUUCAUUCCUAUAAUAAACACAGUACAAUUCGACAUUGUUUUAUUAAGGAUUUUGUUAAAGAAAAGGUUGUCUAUCGAGAGUUUGUUCCCACUGAACAUCACUUGGUAAAUAUUCUUACUAGACGCUUGGAUUCUCGUCUAUUUGAGUUCCUUAGGAAGUCCUUAGGCUUGUGCCUAAUCGAUUGAACAUCAAAACUUAGGUCUAAAAGGUUUUCAAGUUUAAUUAUUUAUUUUCUAUUUGUUUCCUUUGACCUUCUUUUAAGUUUACUUUGUGAAUAUGAGAAAUAUACUAUGUCUACAAGACUUGAUGUGGAUUGAUUCAUAGAUAUUUGUUAAUCACCAUUGAUGUAUGUGGACCCGCAUUUCACUCGAUGCGUUCCCACUUAUGGCUAACUCGCUUUUAAUUUAUUUGGUGAAAAUAUGAUUUUCAGAAAAGAAUUAGAGUCGCCACUUAUUUUUGUUUUAUUUUUAAGGGAAAACAAAAUAAGAAAGAAAACCCUAAGUGUGACUCCUUAUUUGGAAAAGACAGUCUGUGGAAAACCAAAGUCGAGUCCGGGAGUUGAGUUACUUAUUGGGAAGGCACGAUAAAAAAGCCAUAGCACCCCAAGUCCCUAAAAACGAGUCUCUACUAAAUAAAGCAACUAAUAAGGAAAACAAUGGAGACCAAAAUGAUCAUAGAUCAAAAGCAAGUCAUGAUAGGGAAUAAAUAAACAAAGUGAGAGUGAGAGCAUACCAUGGCAAUAGGUAAAUAAAGCGCUAUCGUGAAACAAAGUUAGUGUAUAAUGAUAAGUGUAAAAUGGCUCACACAAAACCAAUCAAAAUAGAACAAUAUCAACCAUACAAUUCACUUGAAUUAUUUUCGCAAGAAAUGUUAUGAAUAUUGGGCUCCCACCAAAGCCUAACUUAUUUUGCAUGAAUUCUAUUAUUUUGGAAUCAUGAAAAUUGCCUUCGCGCUUAUUAAAAAUAAAAAAAAAUAAAAAAUUGUGAAAGUGUUUACUUGAAAGGAAAUGUAGCAAGUUUAUAAAAAUUAUUUGAAAAUGAAAAUUUUGAAAUUUGGAAUUUUGGAGAAUUAUUUGAAAAUAGAAUUUCUUAAGAAUUAAAUUUGGAAAUUGUUUGAAAAUAGAUAAUAAAAAUUAAAUUUGGGAAUUGGAAUUUUGGAGAAUUAUCUGAGAAUGGAAUUUCUUAAGAAUUAAAUUUGAAAAUUGCUUGAAAAUGGAGAAUAAAAAUUAAAUUUGGAAUUUUGGAAAAUGGUUUAAAGAUUAAAGUUUUGCAAACUAGAUUUAAAAUUAAAAUUUGAAGAAUUAUUUCAAAAAUGGAUGCUUUGAAAAUUAAAUUUGAGAAUUGGGAUUGUAGAAAAUUAUUUGAAAAUGGAAAUUUGAGAAUUAUUUGAGAAUGGAAUUUCUUAAAAAUUAAAUUUGGAAAUUGUUUGGAAAUGGAGGAUAAAAAUUAAAUUUGGGAAUUGGAAUUUUGGAGAAUUAUCUAAGAAUGAAAUUUCUUAAAAAUUAAAUUUUAAAAUUGCUUGAAAAUGGAGAAUAAAAAUUAAAUUUGGAAAUUGGAAUUUUGAAAAAUGGUUUAAAGAUGAAAGUUUUGUAAACUAUAUUUAAAAUUAAAUUUUGAAUAAUUAUUUCGAAAAUGGAUUCUUUGAAAAUUAAAUUUGAGAAUUUGAAUUUUUAAAAAAUAUUUGAAAAUGAAAAUUGAGAAUGGAAUUUUUAAAAAUUAAAUUUGGAAAUUGGAAUUUUUUGGAAAAUUAUUGGAAAAUGGUAUUUUAAAUUAAAUUUGGAAUUUUGGAAAAUUAUUUGAAAAUUGAAAUCUUGAAAAUUAGAUUUAAAAAAAUGGAAUUUUAAAGAGUUAUUUGAGAAUGGAGAAAUAAAAUAAAAAAUAAAAAAAAGUAAAAAAAUUAAAUUAUUAAAAGAAGAAAAAUUAAGAGGAUGACAUGUGGCUACUGUGUGGUGCGUUGGAGAGUGGCCAGAUUGCCACCAUCGACGAGGUUCACAUCGUUAAAAAUCCUAUUCCGAACCUAGGGUGGUCGAAGGUGUGUUGCCCAUGUUGUUGCAAAAAAAAGAGCCACUACAGCCUCCGGUGGGGCAACAGCCCUGGCCGUGGGCGUUGAGCAACAAUGACAGCCCCAGAUGCGGCUGAACCAAGCUGCUAGGAUGUGGAGGUAAAGAGGUUUGAAUCAAAAUGGCUAAAUGGGUUUCUCAUGGGUGAGCUUGAUAGAGAAAAAGUUGUCUAUGCGGCAAAUGGAGGAGAUUGUUGGUUUAGCAAGCUCAUCAGGAAGCUUCUCCAGAGAGUCAUGCCAUAAGUGAAGGAGGGCCUGAAUGUAUUGUUUUUUAUGGGUCACAACCUUUUCAAGCUGUGAAUGCCAUCCUUGAAUCUCAUUCCAAAACUGGAUGGUGCGUUCACGGUGAUGCUUGCUCAUAUACUUGGGAACCUGGGAAAUGUCAAUAAAUUUGAGGUUUGUAACCAUCUUUAGCUGGCUAUUGUGCUGCAUGUACAUGCCAUUCCACAUUUUUGUCAUCAACUGCUUUCAUUUUCUCCAAUGAUUCAGUACAGGCACUGCGUUUUUUUUUUCUUUCAAUAAUGUAUUUUGGGUUGCAGCUCACUGCUCUUUCUUUGUGUCAAAAGUGAGGCUUCGAGUGACAAGCUUAGACCAAGGGUGCAUGCUAGAUGCAUAGACACAAACUAGUACCAAGAACAGAGAAAGAAAUAGCCUAAAAUAGAGCAUGCCCAAAGCAACAAGCAAUUCAUUAAAUAAGGCCUCAUUUCAUGCUAAAAUCAAUGAGCCUAAAGCGGAGAAGGAGCUAGAAUAAAUCUUGAACAAAAAAAUUGGAUAUAAUUUCCAAGCAUUGAGCAUCAAAUGUAAGUCCAAAUUCAAAUUCAUCAUCAAAUUUAAAUCGAAAGAAAUAGGAGAACAAAACAGUGUGAAGUUUGCAAUCAAUCCAAGAUCAGUAAGACAACAUAUAAUCUCUUGUAAUCACACCCAAACAACAGAUAAUACUCAGAGAAUUGGCUAAAUAUGAGAGUAAAGUAGUGUUAAAAAAAAAUGAAAGACAUAGAGAUUACAGAAAACUCACCCGGAGAGCCUCCUCCCAAUCCGUGUUAUCUUAGUUUCAAGUGAGUUGUGUCUCCUUCCAAAAACCAGCAAAAAAUCAUCAGUUUCCCUCUCCUAUGUUUUUUUCUCAAUCCCUUGCUUGGUUUUCCUUAUUUUUUAGUUCCAUUCCAAACCAGUUUUCUACAACUCCUUCCUUUCUGAAUGUCUUUCCCUAGUCUCUCUCUCAUUCACUUUCUCUCUCUCUCUCUCUCUCUCUCUCUCUCUCCCUCUCCCCCCCAAUGUUUUUCUCUCAAUUUCUCUCUUGCUAAAAACCUUCCCUCUGUUUAUCUCUCAAUUUCUCUCUUACUAAAAACCUUCCCUCUCUUUCUCUUUAAACGUCUCAUUCCUCUUAUAUCUUUCAUGUCUUUCUCUACUCCAUUCCAAAAAAAACUUAUCAAUCUCCUCUCGUAAUCUGUCAACAUUUCAUUCCCGAUGACCUCUCUCCACCUCCCUACCAAACUCUUUAAUUUUCCAAAAAUCUAACCUCAAUCUUCUUCCCCCAUGAUCUCUUUUUAUUUUCCCACCAAAAAUUCAUUUUUUUUUAAAAAAAAUUACCUAAAUAAACGAGUAAAUAAAAUAAAAAUUAAUAAAAAGCUAUUUUGGAAAUAAAAAUGAAAAUAAAAAAUAAAAAAUAUAAUAUAAUAUAAUAGUAAGAAUAAUAUUAAUAAUAUCAAUAAAAUAAUAAUAAUCUUAAUAAUAAUAAUGAUAAUAGAAACAAUGGUAAGAAAAACUAUUCUAAUAAUGGUAAUUUAAAAAAUUAAAUGACAAUAAUAAUAAUAAUAAAAUAUACAAUGACUAUAUAUAUAUAUAUAUAUGUGUGUGUGUGUGUGUGUGUGUGUGUGUGAGUAGAUAUGAAAAUGAACAAAUAAAUAAAUGAAUAACUAGAUAUAAGUACGCAACACGUAUUUAUAAAGAAAACAUGCAAGCUACGUAAGCCAUGUAGGCCAUGUAAGCCAUGCAAGCCACUAAGCCAAACGAAUGACUUAGGAGUGUUGGAGCAAGCCCUAAAGGACUAGACAUACCUAAAUGGGCCAAGUGUGCCUAAAUGGGCCAAGUGUACCUAAUGGGCCUAAAUAAGUCUAAACAAAUUGUCAUAAAUGUGUAUCUAGUAUCCAAUAACAAUAGGCCUCCAAGAACUGCUAUAAAGUAUUGAAAGAGUACUUAAUCAAGGUAUGCACUAAGGGGACAAAAUGAAGGGUCUACAAUGUACUUGAUUCCUGAUAAUUAAAUGUUUUUGUAUAGUGGAAUUCCAACCUUAGUUACAUCUUGUGCUUGAUCAAGAGGAAGACUUCUUAAGUUUAGCUCAUAAAGUAGACUUUGUUCACUUUGGAAGGAUCCUUUGUCAUGCUCAAAUCUUAUUAUCCACAUGUCUUAUUUGACUAAGAUCAUUAUAAUUGUUUAUCGAAGUGAGUUAGUGAAAUUUCUUGAAUCAUUGGUUAACCAUAACUCUCAUAUAAUUUCCAAGAUUUAUGCUCUCAAAUGUAAGCUGCUCACUUACAACAUUUGGAAACAUCCCCAAAGUAAUACAAAUGCAACCAUGAAUGAAAAUAAAGUGAAAAAUCGAUAGAGAUCAUGGUGUACAAUGCCGCUACUUUCAAAAGAAAAAGAAAAAAAAAAUGAUAUCAAGUUAAGGAGGACUCAAGUUGUGCCAGAUGUAGAUCAACGAGGUCAUGUUAGACCAAAAUCCGAUUAUCUUAGUUGAAAUUGACUGGAUGUGUAAUUUAAUUUGACUAAAGGCAUAACUAGAUAUCUUCUAAGUAAUCAAAUUUCAAAAUAUAAAACUAGACAGUAAGUUGUAUUUCCUUGAACAUCAAUACUUAUUUUUCUAUGUUGGCCCUCUUAUACAUUGAUGGUUAUGCAUUGGGUUUCAAAACUAAGAUUAUGAUUGACCUUGAUGCUUGAACAUGAAACCUCACUCUUAAUGGAUUGAUUUAUAAUACUUAGAAAAUUCACAUGACUAAUUUAUUAUUGAUUAAAAUUAUCUUAAGAAUCCUUGAACGUGAUGAUUUACCUAAGUUGAUUGGUUUUAUGUAUCUUGUCUCGGCUUCAUGGCAUCAUUUAAUCUCUAGUUAAGCUAGUUGAGUUUUCCAAUUCCUUUGGUAAAUUUUUGUUCUUUUCUUUGUGCUAAUUUGAGGCUUCAAACGCUUGAGCGUUCUUACUAGUGCUCAAGCACUCCAUCCAACACUACUAGUGCUCAAGCGUUACAAGUUAUAUCCAGAGUCGCUUUGAGUGGUUAGACCGCUCAAGCACUCUAAGUCAUAUUUAACAUUGUUUCCAACAUUCGCGACACUUAAGCGUUAGCGCUAAUCUACAUCGAGCACUCCUACAUGCUAUUUAAAGUCAUCUCGCAUGCCAUUUGCUAUUUUUUACCUUUCCAAGUUGUUUCGAGCACUCUGGGUUUCCGCUUCUUUGUCAUUUAAGGUCAGUUCGCUUCAUAUUUCCCAUUUUGUUUGCAUAGUAUUAUUCUUCGCUUUGUUUUUAGCAUUCUUAGUGGUUUAGUUUGUCUUUGUAAUUUUUCUUGUUUUUCAUGUCCUUUCAUAUUCCAUUAUUGUAGUAUGGCGAUUCGUCGUCACCAGCUCGAGGUAACCCCUCCUAUGUAACCUUUCAACCUAGUAGCACUUCUAAUGGAGUGUUUCCACUAUCAAGAGGCACAAAAUCGCUUUUAUGCCUCUUCCAUGAUAAAUGUGUUGGGAUUGAGCAUUUGGUCAAUCUUCGAGCUUUUUAAAACACUCUUCUCCCUACUAUCAUUAGAGAGUGAGGGUGAGAGAUGUUCUCUCUUCAAAGGACUUACUACCCCCAUCUUAUUGCAUGUUUUAUGUGAACAUGCAUUAUGUUUUCAUUUGAGUCAUUGUUCGAGUGGCUAUAUACGACCAGUCCUUCCUCGUCUCUUCUCGUUCCAUCUAAUGUGUCCUGAGCAUGCCAUGACUUAAGUCUCACCUUUAGUCUUUCUUUUCAAAGGUUUAAGCUCUCAUUAAAGGGGAGCUUGAUGUCAUUCCCACCUCCCUGUAUGGCAUUCAUUGCCCUUUACCUUCAUAUAUUUUGAUUGUUGGCUUCUCUAAGCAAGUAUGGAUACUUUCUACCUUUUUCACUUACUCCUUUUACCCUUCUACUUAUCAUACUCAGAUUCAUCGAUCAUCUACUCGGUUUAUUCAUGUUAUACUCUCUAGCCAAGAAUUUGUUAAUGGCCAAGUGAUUUUAGACACGAUGACUCCUCUUCAUGAUCUAUUUUUUCGAGGAGGUAACCUUCCUUUUAACCUCCUCAUUUCUUAUAAUUGUCUUUGAGUUAGAUCUAGUUUUGGGAAUCCAUUCCUCCCAUGCCCUCUUGGAUGGGAGCUCUUAGGUUAAGCACUACAACCAUGUUUAUGGACUGAUGGAACCCCCAACUUUCCAUGACCCUCAAGAUAUGGCAUAGUAAGCAGCUUAGGAAGCAAUAGUAGAGGAGGAUGAACUCCAAGCUAUGGAGUCUGAUGCAGUUCCCAAGCUAGAUUUUCCUGAGCUUGCUCUAAGGAUGCACUCUAGUCGAGGUUGUGCUAGUUCUUCUUGAGCUACACAUAAGGCAUCUUCUUCAUCAAAUGAUGGACUCAUAGGACAUUCAACUCUGUGAGAUCCGGGGUCAUCUUGACUACAUCAUAUCUUAGAUCCACUCUCGAGGCGCCUCAAGCUUUACCCCUCCUUCACCUCCUCUAAAUGCUUAGAUUAGUUUUGUUUACGUAUUCUUGAUCUAGAUUUGUUCAUUUAUGACAUAUCUUAUGUAUCCAUAAUCAUUUUUGUUAUAUAUAUGUUGUUUCUUUAACUUUCUCUCUAAUUGUGUGCUUUCCAGUUUAGAUAUUUCACAUGCUUUGCAAUUUUUGUGACAAAAAAAGGGGAGAUCAUUGACCAUAUUUGACUCACUUAAAUAAGGGAAGCAUAAGAAUAAAUUGAUAAAAGAUAAUUAAGAAACUUCCUUGAUAGAAAAAGGGAAAUAUUAUUUAAGGGGAGUUAAUAUUAUUUUUGAAUUAUUUUAUUCAUUUAAUUCUUAAGGGAAAUUAAUUGAAAUAUUAGAGGAAAUUAAACUUGAGACACUAGAGGAAGCCAAAUCAACCUUUGGAAGCAUAACUUAAAAGUUUAAGAGAGAUACCUGACAUGGAUGUUUUGUGCAAGAUAUUUCUAUUUAAAUUAUCUAUCUCUUUAAAACUAUUAUGAGUCACAAAAGGUUGUUCUCAUAGUUUUCACUACAAUAUUCUGGUUGGAGACAAACCUCUAGACUUUAUAGUUGAGCUAUUGUGUCUUAUCAAGCUUUUAUCAAGUUUGGUUGAUAUGUGUGCAUCUAGAUUCCUCUCGAGCUUUGCUUUGUACCUUGGUGUCACUACAAGGAUUUGUUCCUCUUACAUGCAUCAAGCAAAAUCUUCAACUAUCUUGUUCUAUUACUUUGAUCAUAUCUUAUCCCACACAUUAUUUUACCUUUGGUAUAGUUUUUUGUAUGUGUGUAGGUUACAGGACUGGAAGAUUAGUACUACAAGUUUAUAGAAAAUAUUCCUGUAGACCCUCAAUUUUGUCCCUCGACACUGGCAUUUAUCCUUCUGGUGUCACAUCCACCCAUCAUUCGUAUAUGACACCACUAGGGCCCCUUUUGGGCUUAGUCGGUGUCCGAGCCUCGUGUGGGUUUGUGUGUGGUCCAUUGUGAUGCAUAUGUGGUUCAUUUAGGAGGGUCACCAUGGCCAUUUUCCUAGUCGUUCACAUCACGCUAUAGGAAGGAAGUGGGGUCAUCCCGAUGUUUUAGCUUAGUUGGGGUUUAUAGGGGCAUGUUGAGGUUCGGAGCACUCGGGCUUGUUUUGAUCGUAUCUCCCUUAUCCAAACUCGGAAUCAAGAACUGUUUCUUUUUAUGGAUUCCUUAUUCUUCCAGGAACAUUCUGUAAAAUUUUCAAAAUUUUUUGCAACCGGUCGGCUGGUUGGCAGCCGGUUCAGCCGGUUCAUUAGGUCAGCCGGUGUAGAACACUGAUUUUUGGUAAUUGUUUUGAUCAUAUCUCCCUCUUCCGAACUUGGAAUCAUGCACCGUUUUUUUUAAUGGAUUCCUUACUCUACUAGGAACAUUAUGUCAAAUUUUCCGAAUUUUUCUCCAUCGGGUCGACCAGUUGGAAUCCGGUUCGGCCGGUUCAGCCGGUUCAUUGAGUCAGCUGAGGUAAAACACUAAUUCUAGUAAUUUCGAGGCCCAAAUCCUACAUGGCUCAGGCCCAUAAGCUCCAUAUUGGUUUUGGGAAAUGUUGUGGGUCCAUUUUGGGCCUUGUUUUGGGUUCCUUGCAGCCCACCACGAAUCCAUAUGGGUUCUUGGUGGUGAAGCAAGCUGAAAAAACUGAAGAGAGUGAGCUGGCCUUGUAAGUCUAAGAGAAGUAAUGAGGGGUGUGGUUCCCAUGCUGAUGAAGGGAAUUUCGGUGCUGAAGGGGAAGGAACCCAGGAGGCUCAAAUGCUAAGAGGGGUAUGAGUAUAAAAGGUGAGAGGAUAGGAGAGCAAAGGACCUGGGACAUUUUGGAAAGGGGAAAUUCUGCUGGUGAGAAAAACAAAAGGUCUGUAGCAUCUUCUGAGUUGAGAGUGUGGGGGAAGCUUCAGCACUGUGGUUUUUUUGAAGAGGAGAGUGACAGCCUCUCAGUUUUGGAAGUCAUCAUUGGCAUGCACAAAUCAUAUUUGGUGGAGAUUCUAAAGUAAGCAUGCUGAAUUUUCUUUACUUACAACUUAUCUUCCUCGUCUUCAUAUGCUUUUUCUCCUUCCUCAUCAUCUUUUCUUCCCUUUGAUAUGAAGAUUGUAUUGCUUGGGUGUGUACAAUAAAGGCCACACAUGAUUGUUGUUGUUUGCUUCCUUAAUCACUUAGGAAUUUCCUGACCGAAUUUGGGAUUUUUUACCAACCGGCUGAACCGGUUUGGAACCGGUUCAACUGGUUCAGCACCAUGGCUGGCAGCAUCUGUCAGCCAUGAGGAGCACUUGCCUUUCUUUGUCUAGUUCUCACUCAUCCGGGGUCGGAAUUGAGAACCGUUUAUUUUUUUUGCUUCCUUAAUCACUUAAAAGCUUACUGACCAAAUUUGGGAUUUUUUAUCAACCGGAUAUACCGGUUUGGAACCGGUUCAACCGGUUCAGCACCAUGGCUGGCAGCCUCUGUCAGCCAUGAGGAACACUUUCCUUUCUUUGUCUGGUUCUCACUCAUCCGGGCUUGGAAUUGAGAACCGUUUCUUUUUUUUGCUUCCUUAAUCACUUAGGAACUUCCUGACCGAAUUUGGGAUUUUUUACCAACCGGCUGAACCGGUUUGGAACCGGUUCAACCGGUUCAGCACCAUGGCUGGCAGCCUCUGUCAGCCAUGAGGAACACUUGCCUUUCUUUGUCUAGUUCUCACUCAUCCGGGGUUGGAAUUAAGAACCGUUUCUUUUUUUUGCUUCCUUAAUCACUUAGGAACUUUCUGACCGAAUUUGGGAUUUUUUACCAACCAGAUGAACCGGUUUGGAACCAGUUCAACCGGUUCAGCACCAUAGCUGGCAGCCUCUGUCAGCCAUGAGGAACACUUUCCUUUCUUUGUCUGGUUCUCACUCAUCCGGGGUCGGAAUUGAGAACCGUUUCUUUUUUUUGCUUCCUUAAUCACUUAGGAACUUCCUGACCGAAUUUGGGAUUUUUUACCAACCGGAUGAACCAGUUUGGAACCGGUUCAACCGGUUCAGCACCAUAGCUGGCAGCCUCUGUCAGCCAUGAGGAACACUUGCUUUUCUUUGUCUGGUUCUCACUCAUCUAGGGUCGGAAUUGAGAACCGUUUCUUUUUUUUGCUUCCUUAAUCACUUAGAGCUUACUGACCAAANUUGGGAAUUUUUUAUUCAACCCGAUUGUACCAGUUUGGAACCGGUNNNNNNNNNNNNNNNNNNNNNNNNNNNNNNNNNNNNNNNNNNNNNNNNNNNNNNNNNNNNNNNNNNNNNNNNNNNNNNNNNNNNNNNNNNNNNNNNNNNNUCAGCACCAUAGCUGGCAGCUUCUGUCAGCCAUGAGGAACACUUUCCUUUCUUUGUCUGGUUCUCACUCAUCCGGGGUCGGAAUUGAGAACCGUUUCUUUUUUUUGCUUCCUUAAUCACUUAGGAACUUCCUGACCGAAUUUGGGAUUUUUUACCAACCGGAUGAACCAGUUUGGAACCGGUUCAACCGGUUCAGCACCAUAGCUGGCAGCCUCUGUCAGCCAUGAGGAACACUUGCUUUUCUUUGUCUGGUUCUCACUCAUCUAGGGUCGGAAUUGAGAACCGUUUCUUUUUUUUGCUUCCUUAAUCACUUAGGAGCUUACUGACCAAAUUUGGGAUUUUUUAUCAACCGGAUGUACCAGUUUGGAACCGGUUCAACCGGUUCAGCACCAUAGCUGGCAGCCUCGGUCAGCCAUGAGGAACACUUGCCUUUCUUUGUCUGGUUCUCACUCAUCCGGGGUCGGAAUUGAGAACCGUUUCUUUUGUUUGCUUCCUUAAUCACUUAGGAACUUACUGACAAAUUUGGGAUUUUUUAUCAACCGGAUGUACUGGUUUGGAACCGGUUCAAUCGGUUCAGCACCAUAGCUGGCUGCCUCUUUCAGCCAUAAGGAACACCUGCCUUUCUUUGUCUGGUUCUCACUCAUCCGGGCUCGGGAUUGAGAACCGUUUCUUUUGUUUGCUUCCUUAAUCACUUAGGAACUUAAUGACCAAAUUUGGGAUUUUUUAUCAACCGGAUGUACUGGUUGGGAACCGGUUCAAUCGGUUCAGCACCAUAGCUGGCUACCUCUUUCAGCCAUAAGGAACACCUGCCUUUCUUUGUCUGGUUCUCACUCAUCCGGGCUCGGGAUUGAGUGUCGUUUCUUUUGUUUGAAUCCUCACUCAUUUAGGAGUUUUCUAGAAAAAUUUGGGAAUUCUUCUCAAUGGGUUGUACCAGUUGAGAACUAGUUCAACCUGUUUUGUUGGAGGACUUUAGGUAGCCCUUGAUUUUGGUUUGGCAUUUUUCGAGCCCUUAUCCAUGGGGGGCUCAAACCCAUUUGUUAUAGGGCACUUGUGAGCCAUCUUGAAGGUUUAAGUCAGUGUUUGAUUUCAGUUAGUAUGGGCAAUUUUGAAGUUAUGGGUGGUGUGGUCUAGAUGAGUCUAGUUCGAUUUGUAUGACAUUUGGGGAGUCCCUUACCUCAUUUCAACCAGCUAUCCUCCUUUUUGGCACAAGCUUUGAUGCUUGAUUUUGAAUACAUUGUUGCGUGACUGACUCACCCUCUGCUGCAGCGCUUGGCUAGGGACCACAGGUACGCAUCGUUGGCUUUGGUUGUUGAAUUCAUAUGCAUGCAUGGUGCUUAAUCUUGAAUGUUUGUUAUGUGUUUAUCUAUGUUUGGCUGACCUUUUAUGCAGCGCUUGGCUAGGGACCACAGGUAUGCACCCAUCGUUUUGUUUGGUUGAAUUCAUAUGCAUGCCAAAUACCAAUUAGGAUUGUGUGAUUCAUGACAUCUAUUUAGCUUAGGGUUUCAUUUGACCUUUGACCCAUAUGCUCCCACAUACCCAAUUCAUUAGUAAAGACCGAGUUUCGGACCUAGAGGGGUGCUACCUCGCAUGAGGUACCUUCCCAACGGGUAACCUGAUCCCCGGACCCAGAAUCUAGUUUUCGUAGACCGCUUUUUCCAUACUGGGGUCAUUAGGGGUUUUUGUUCUUACUUAAUUUUCCCCAUUUUAAAAACAAAAAUAAAAAGUAAGUGGCGACUCCAAACAACACCGUUCCUCACCAAGGGCGGGUUUUUUCAAAACUGGAAAUCACCAACUUUUUCAUUUCUUUCUUUUCUUUUAAAAGCGAGUCGCGUCGGUCCGGUGGAUCGGGUGAGGGUCCACAAUUCCCUUAAUUAAUUUUUAAUUGAGUGUUAUUGUGUGUUAUGUAAACUCCGUUAUGUGAAUUCGGGUGGGUUUAUAUAACGAUGGUUUGUCACUAUAUUUCCAAAAGAGGAGAUUGUUAAGACAUCGAGUCUUGUUUGUAUGUUGGUAAUUUUGUUCCUUUUAAUGUUUGGUCAUACAAGUAUUUUUAAAUAGUGACUUGCUUUUCAUUGAAGAUCAUAAGUUACUUUUUAUCUAACCAGGAAAUCAUAGAUAUGUCUAAAAAAGUUUGGCUUGUGGCAAGUUCAACUCUAUUGAGGUAUAAAGAGGAUUGGUAAUUGUUUUAAACUUAAAAUUAAUUUUUAUAAGGUUUUUGGAAAAAAUGAGACGCUCAAGUGGGAAACAGCACUCAAGCACUCCACACCACUCGAGCACUAAAAGCACUUAAGCCACCUAAGUGGGCUCAAGUGGUCAUGAAUUUCCAUUAGAGAUUUUUUUAUGCAAAUCUUAUUUAGAAGUCUCCUAAACCAAAAUUCUUUGGGAUUUAUUCCCAUAUAUACCUCAUUAUAACCCCUUAAGGGUUAGAGAUUGUAUAGAAAUCAUUAGGAGAUCACAUAUUCUUUAAAAAUGGUUUCUUAGAGAGAAAGUCUAACAUGUCAUACUAUUCUCGAUUUUUCAUUCAAGGAUUUGAUAUUUGAAUCUUAGGUUGAAGACCUAUAUCCCUUCAACGAGGUUAAAAUAUAUUCACUGGAGCAACGAAGACUAUUGUGUCAUGAAUAUGGAUCAAGUUGUAGGUACUAAAGAGUAAGUCUUUAGGGUAAACCAACUAAGUAAAUUUAUGUAACUUGAUCUCAUAUAAUGGAUUUAAAUUAAUAGUUUUAGAUCUCAUAGUUUUUUUAUCUCAACAAUUAGUGUAAGGGUUUUCCACGUAAAAGUCUUUGUACCUCAUUGUUUAUAUCUUUUGAUUAUUUUGUUUGAAUUUCCUAUCAUUAUUUAAAUUGAUAAUCCCUAACUACUCAUAGGGUUAAAAAUUGGGCAUAAUAUUUAAUCCUUAUAUUAUAAUUUUUAAACACAUCCAUUCACCCCCCUUUAGGUGUUACCUUGAAUCAUUUUUAUUUAAUUGGUCUAGAAAGAUGGAAGGAAUGGUGAUAUUCAUACCUUUAUACACACACACACACACACACACACACACACACACACACACACACACAUCAAAUACAACAUGUAGAAGGUGUUUGAUAAAUCAAUUUAAUGAUUUAAUACCUUAAUUCAAAUCAUUAAGUAUAUUAAGCAUGUUUGAUAAAAUAACUUAAUAUUAUAAUUUAAAUUUAACUUUAAGUAUUAAGUCAAAAAAGUUAACUCAUUCUUAAUUUCGAAUAUUUUUUGUGUCAUUUGCCUACACAUGAAAAUAUAUUUUAGAAUUAUGAUUUCACAUCUAUAACUAAAUUUUUAAUAGUAAAUAUUAUAUGAUUAUUUCAUAUAUUUACAAUACUUUGAUUAUGAAUUUUUAUAAAUAAAUUUAUUACUUAAAAUUAAUGAAAAUAAAUGAGUUAAAAUGAACGACGAUAAAUAUUAGUUAAAAUUAACAAGAGUAAACAUGUUGAUUUAACUUAACAACUUAAGAACAAUUUACCUUAAAAAAGUCAAUAACUUGAGAGCAAUUUAAAUUAGGAAAAUCAACUUAAGUCAUUAAGUGUUAAGUAUUAAAUUUGAUCAAACACCCAUGUAGUUUUUUUUUCCUUUUUUUCUUUUUUUCUUUUUUUUUUUUCAAAAUUAUACCAAGGCAAUUAGCCAUAGACAAGAAUUAAGAUUUAAUUAGACUGAACUGAUGACUGGAGUUAUUCAAUUAAUUCCAGAAUAAGGAUUUUUUGCUAAGAUGAUGUUUGAGCAGAGUACGAUUGAGGUUAGAGUUGGUGUCCAUAGUUUCCUAGCUGGUGAUGGAUUUCAUCUGGAUUCUCAGAAGAUAUAUGAACUGCUUACAAAAUUGGAGAUGCAAAUGGUCAAGGAGGUUUAGAUUCCUAAUUUGGAUUUUCUACUUCGUGAUAUAGAGGCAAUUUUAUAAUUUUGGAAGUGUUGAUACACAAACUUAUUCAAUCCAUUGCAGAUGUUCCAAUUCAAAUCCAUUGCUAUUGGAUAUGCAUCAUGUGUGAUAUUGGAUUUUACUGGCUAUCUAUUGGAAUAAUAUCUUAUGGAUUUGAAAAUUGGAAGAUAUAUAAAAGCAAGAAAACCAUUAAGAACAUUCAUUGGAUGGUGUUAGCCAAUCAACUUUUGCUAUAAAGAAGUGAUAUCUGUUGAAAGCAAUGAGACUACUACUUGAGAUGGAUUUUGUUUCACAUGAGUUAACAUUUUUGGGAACACGCAAUUGAUUAGGAGAAAGAGUUUGGCAAGAGGAUUAGAGGGAGAGACUAUUUAUGGAGUAGGUUAAAGAUAUAAUAGCCAUGUUGCUUUCCAGAUCAUGCUAGAUAGAGGCCUCAAGUUCAACCAACUUUAGCAGUUACAAGUUGUACUUUGGCAACCGAUUCCCUGGAAAGCCAACACUACAAAAAAAAAAAAAAAAAAAAGGUUUUUAAUGACGAAUUUUUAGUCACGACCACAAAUAUCGUGACCAAAGAUAUUAUUUUGUCACAAUUUAAGGUAAAAAAAAAACAUGUUUAGUCACGGUGAUUUUAUCAACCGUCACCAAAAGGAUUGAGGAAAGGGUAUUUUAGUGACAGAUUUAUUUGAAAUCGUUUGUAAAUUUAGGGAGGAAAUUUUGGCGCCAAUAAUUUUAGUCACGGUAAUUUUAUCAUUCGUGACAAAAAGUGUAAUAAAUGGUGUUUUAGCCCAUUUUUUAUGUAUAUAUAUAUUGUGACUUUUAGUCAUGCCAUUGAUUGACGGUGACUAUAUGGGAACUUAUAGUCACAAAUUUCACAUUGACCAUGACCAAAUGCAUAGAUGUUUAUUUUAAAUAUUUUGAACUUAUGGUCACGGGGUUCACACAAUCGUGACCAAAGUCUAUUAUUUAUUUUAAACCAUUUUUUGGUUAUAUAUGUAUAUAUAUAUAUAUAUCAUAGAAAUUAUCAUUAAUAGUAAUAAUAAUAGUUCUUAUUAAUUAUAAAAAGUUUAAAGUUAUAUUAUUAUAUUUUUUUUAAGUUAAGAAACAAAUUAGUGUGUUACCAUUUUUCUUUAGUUAAAAUUAUUUAAUUUCCUUGUUAUGAUUAAUGUUUUAAUAAGAAGUAAAAUAAAGUUUAAUAUAUUAGUUUAAAAAUAUGAUGCUUCAAUUUGAUAUUAUUUGAUAAAAUGUUUAAAUGCAAGUAAGUUAGCAAAUUAAAAAACAAUUUUGGUUUUAUAUAUGAUAAAUAAUUCUUAUUGUAUUUAAAGUAUCAAUAAAAGUGAUAACUAAAUUUUACUAUUAACAAUUAAAAUCAAAAUAAUCUUCAUAAUAGGUUUAUUAAUAAUAGGUUAAUGAUAAUAGGUUUUAUAUUAUUAAUAAUAGCUUUUAUAUAAAAGCAUUAAGAAUUUGAUUGGCCAUUGAUAUAUUUUUUUAAUUAGGAUGAUAAUAAGAUAAGUUAUUAUAAGAAGAUUUUAUUAAAUUGUAGUUACUUCUUUUUUUAGUAAACUUAAAUUUACUAAACAUGUAACAAGAAUAAUGUUUUAGUUAACUAUUAAAAUUUUAAAACAUAGAACUUGAUAAAUUUGUAAUAUAAAAUUUUAAAACUUGAUAAGCCUGAUAAAACUUGAUAAAAAUUUUAAAAUAAAACUUUGAAAAUAAAAAUUUAAAAAUAUAAAUCUUGAUAAAUUUCUCAUAUAUAAUUAUAAAAUUUUAAAUUUUAAAACUUGAUAAAAAAAUUAAAAUAAAAUUUUAAAAUAUAAAACUUGUUAAAUUUCUAAUAUAAAAUUUUUAAAUUUUAAACUUGAUAAUUUUAAAAAUUCAAAAACUUGAUAAAACUUAAUAAAAAAUUUAAAAUAACACUUUGAGUAAAACAUUGAACUUUCAAAAUUAAUUUUAAAUUUAAAAAUAAUUUUAAAAUUUUAAAACUUGAUACUUUUAAAACUUUCAAAAUUAAAUGAGUUAAAUGAUUUUUAAAUAAUUAAAUGAGCUUAAAUAAUUUUUAUAUUUUUAAUAAUUAGAUUUUUUUUGUUAGACUUUUAUGCCAUCAAUUAUCUUUGUAAUUUAAAAAUAAUUAAUUAAAUUUUAUAUGGUAUAAUCAUGAGCUUAAAUUUUAUGUAUUUAUUCUCCAACUAAUUGAUGGGUUAUACAAACAACAAAUUUGCCUUGAAUGGUGCACUAAUCCUUUAAAUCAAAUAUCAAUGGGUAUUAUCCCCAAAACGAUAGUUAAUAAAUAUAAUUAAAAUUAAAUAAAUUAUUUAAUAUCUAAAUAAAAAUAUUUUAAAUAAAUAAAUAGACAAAUAAUAAUAAUUUUUAGAAAAUUUUUAUUUUUUCUUUAUUUCUCUCACGAUUUUUUCCUCAAAUUUCCUAGUAACGAACUUUUCAGUAACCUGAAAUUGCCCUUGAACUUUUUGAAAAAUUACUACUCUCUUUCUUCCUCUUCAAAAAACCCUAGUUUUCUGAAACCCUAAAUCCAACCAUAAAAUCAAGGGGCCUCUAUAUUUCUCACACUGCAUCUUCUACAAAUAAAGAAUUGGUAAAUUCCUCUUAUAUUAAAUCCUAGUUUUUAUUUUCUUUAAUUUGAUGUCAGUUUGGUUUUUGAGAAUAUAUGGGAAAUGGGCAGGGUUAAUGUGAAAUUUUUUAGGGGACAAGUGUACCACCUCACCUAGAACCCAUCAAGCCAAUAAUUGAAAUAUGCUCUCCUCCUCGAAGACACAACUUCUUAUGGAACUAUUUUCCUUUAGGGGUUGGACUGGGUUUUGAUCAGUGCCUAAAAUUACGUUUUAUGAAUAUGUUUGCUUUGUUAAUUCGUUUGGUUUGUGGGUUGAUAUGUUGCCUUGUGAUUUUCCAUUAUGAUUGUUGUGUGUAUGUGGAUGAAAAACAUCGCUUAUUUCAUGUUUCUUAUUGGAAUCAAUCUUCUAUAACCUCUUUUCGAUACUCUUUGACACUGAAAAUUGGGUUUUUUUUUUUUUUUUUGCUUGCUUGGGUUUUAUUUUUAUUUUAUUUUUGAAUUUUAAAUUUUGGGAUAUACACAAACCCUAACCCUAUUUCUUCAUUUUCUUUCCCGUAACCGGUGGUAUUGUUGGUAACGACCGACAACAACAACUUGGUUGGGCGCAAACAUUUUUUAUUUUUUUUUUGUUUCAAUGUAAAAAAGCAUUAGUUACCAAAUGAAGAAAAAAUAUUUUUGUUGCCUGUGAGAAAAAAAAAAGAAAAAAAAAAUUCAUAACAAAGUUCACCAAAUCAAGUAUUCGUCAAUAUUUUUAGAAAUAAAUGGGUUUAUGAAAUGCUUAUAAAUCCAACUUCAUCCAUUCAUAAAAGAGAUUAAUUAGACUUGGUUUCUUUAUAGGUAAAUUACUGAGAAGCAUCUCUGUGCCUAGUAGCCUCCUACUAGAAAUUUAAUUGGGAUGGUAGUCUUUAUGCUUUUGCAUAAGUUAAUUAUAGAUAUUCUUACCUCUAGGGUUUUUUGGUUUGGUAAAUUGUGUGGUUUUAUUUUAAGUUGAUCUCUUUAUUAUCAUAUAAUAUACUAAGUUUUGUAAGUUCUUAUACAUUUUAUGUUUUUGAAAUAUAUGAAUUUGAAAAGUUAGUCCAACAUUGAACUUGGACCCCUUUGGAAACUGCUCCUAAAAAUGUUUCUUGAAUACUUCAUAACAUAAUACAAUUUCAAACUUAAUUUGACAAUUUUGGAUUAAAAAUAAUUUUUUUGAGAAUUUAUUCUAAAAGCAAGAUGAUUUUCAGAAUUUAUUUUGAAAAUAGAAUAAUUCUUAAAAACAAAUUUUAAAGUCCUUUUAGGUAUUUUCUUUUUCAAAAUGUUUUGAAAUAUAACUUAAAAAAUAGAAAGUAGAUAAAAAAAUAUAUAUUGUAUGUACAUAUAUAUAUAUAUAUAUGUAGUACCUUCAUGAAAAAUAGGUGAAGAACAUAAUUUUUUUAUCUUUGAAUUCCCAAAUAUAAUUUAAGAACUAUUAAUUAAACCAUAGGUUAUAUAAGACUACCUUUUUAUUCUACCAUGCUCAAACCCAAAGUAAAAUCAAUCAUUAGGAAAUGUAUGCAAAAGUAGUAGUUUCACCCAUGGGCAUCUAUCUUAACUCAGAAGCAACCAAAUAUUAUAUAAGUUUCAGUAAAAAUGAUUUGCUACUUUAAUUUUUUAAAUUUGUUUUUAAAAAAUUAUUAAUAUUUUAAGAUAAGUUUUUCAAAGUUUAUAUCUUAUGUUAAAAUUAUUAUUAUUUUUUAAAAAGAAAAAGCUUAUUUAAAUAAUACCUUCAAGAUUUUUUUUUUUUAAUUAGCAUAUGAUGGUUGACUUUAGUGAAAUAUUUACAUUUUUAAUUAUUGUCAAAAGUAAAAAAUAAAAAAUAGAAAUUUUAAAAGUGAUACAAGUAAAAUCUAUUCUCAAAUUUAUAUCUUUCUUUUUAUUUAAUUUAUAAGUUGUGUCUUUUUUUUUUUUUAAAUAAAGUAAUUAGUUUUUAAAGUUUAAAGAUAGUAAACUUAUAUAAUAUUUUUAAUUAAAUAUGCUCUCAAAUAAUAUCCUACUUCCAAAACAACUUCUGAACAAAAACCAUUUUUUAUUAAAUAAUAAUAAUAAUAAUAAUAAUAAUAACAAUAUCAAACCUAUUCUAGAAAAAGAAUAAGAAUAUUUAUAAAAAAAAUAAUUUUUUGUACCCAAAUUAGAAAAUUAUGAAAUUUCCAAAUACUUCCAAGUUUGUGCAUAUUGAAAAUUUGAAAAUACUUAUAACUUUGUACAUUUUUCACAAUUCGAUUUUAAAUAAAAAUUAUUGAAAAAAAGAAAAGAGAAUAAUACCAAAAUAUAAUCUUGAUUCCCAAAACUACUUGGGGUGUAAUAAAGAGUUAGGAUUUUAAGUCCAAAUUUUAAUUUUGUUCACGCUUAGGAUUAGAAUUUCUCAUUUAGUAUUUUAUUUAGACUAAUUUUUUAGAGAGCAUACUUGUUAGCCAAUUCUGAAUUUUUAAGCAUGUUUAUUGUAUUUUCUUUCAUCUAUUUAUACCUUACCCUUUCGUUACUUCAUGAUCUAAGAUAUGCAUAUGUUGCAUCUAUUGUGAAGCCUUAUCUAUGAUUUUAUAUUUUAUUAUUGUUAUCUGUGAACUAACCCUCGUUGAUUUUAUGCAAUAGAAAUAUUAGUAAUUCAUUUCUAUAAAUUAUCGAAUGUGUUAGUCUCAUUGUGUGUUUUUAUCUAUUUCUUUUCUAAUGUUAUUUGUCAUUAAUUUUAUCAUUUAAUCAUUUUCAUUUUAGAAAACCCUAGAAAUCCCUUCAAGUAUCCUUGCUUGACAAAUGUCUCUUUUAUCAUAUACUAAAAACAUAGAAGUUGUAGAAUUGUGGAUAUGAUUAUUUAUUGUAGUCAUAUUCAAGUUUUCAACCUAUAUGUUUUGUAUAUGAUUGGUAGAAUUGUUUGCAAAUGAUGCUUGAAUUGUCCGUUUGGACAGUUUGGAAAUACAUAAUAUCUAUAAAAUAACACGCCUAUGCUUUAGCAUAUUGAUAAGUUUUAACAAUGAUUCUCGUUGUUCUCUGGGUGCAUAUUUGGAGAAGGUGACAUAUUGUUAGCAGCUUAGUUAAGCUAACUAAUAGUAUGUUUAUAUCUUAGCCAAUUCGUGUACUUGGAGAACUAUGGGCAAAUGCUGCCGAAAUUUUAUCAAAAUGAAACUAAGCAUGUUAGUGAUUGAUUCGUAGGGAUUAUGUAUUUCUAAAUGGGAUAGUAACCACUACCAAAUAUAGGAAUUUUGAGAUGAUAAAAAACAUAUCACAUUCAUUAUAAGUUGAUAUGAAGAUUCAUUGUUAUGUGAUUGAAGGGUUUAAUUUGUGGAAGUACAAAAAAAAUGCCAAUAGAUAAGAGUUGGAUGCAAAAGUCAAGAGUAAGUAGCGAAUAUCAUAAAGGAGUUUUGGAGUUCUUAGACUUUGCCUUUAGCAAUGCACUUGGAAAAGAAAUGCUUUCAUGUCCUUGCAUUUGUUGCAAUAAUUGUCUUAUGUAGAAGCGAGAAAUCAUGUAUAACCAUUUGUUGGACAAUGGGAUAGCUAGAAAUUAUGUGCGAUGGUUGAUGCAUGGGGAAUAUGAGUUUUGUGAACCUACAAAUACUAUUACUAAUGAGUCUCCUAUGCAUGAUGAGAUGCAAGAAAUGUUAAAUGAUGCAUUUGGAAUGUCAAUGUCAAAUGAGGAAUCUAAAAGAAGUCCACAUGUGCAUGAGGAGUUUGAAAAACCAAAUGAGGAUGUAAACAAAUUUUAUAAUUUGUUAAGAGAAGCAGAGCAGGAACUAUAUCUAGGGUGUAAAAAAUUCACAAAGUUGUCUUUUAUCAUAAGAUUAUUUCAUAUGAAGUGUCUUAAUGGAUGGAGCAAUAAGUCCUUUACAAUGUUGCUUGAAUUGUUGAAGGAGACACUUCUUGAGGGUGAGACUUUGCCAAGCAACUAUUAUGAAGCAAAAAAAAAAAAAAAAAAAAAAAACUUCAUGACCUUGGUCUUCAUUAUAUCAAGAUUGAUGCAUGCCUCUCAUAUUGCAUGUUGUAUUCAAAAGAGCAUGCAAAUGCAAAUGAGUGUGUUGUUUGUGGUGUCUCUAGAUGGAAAUCAAGUGAUGAUCAUUCUAUAGAUGCGUUCACUAAUUCAGUAAAGAAAGAGAAAAUUCCUACUAAGGUCUUGUGUUAUUUUCCUUUAAAACCAAGGCUUCAAAGGUUUAUAUGUCAUAUAAGACAGCUUUUCACAUGAAAUGGCAUGUUGAUGGUUGCAUGGAAGGUGAGAUGAUGAGGCAUCCAGUGGACUCUUUGGCUUGGAAAAACUUCGAUAACGUACACCCUUCAUUUGAACUAGAACCUCGAAAUGUUAGGCUCAGUUUAGAAAGUGAUGGGUUCAAUCCUUUUGGGAAUAUGUCAAUUUCAUACAGCAUGUGGCCUGUGGUUCUUAUUCCAUAUAACUUACCACCUUUGAUGUGUAUGAAACAUGCAUUCUUCAUGUUGUCACUACUUAUUCUUGGUCCAACUACACCUGGGAAUGACAUUGACAUAUACUUACAACCAUUGAUAGAUGAGUUGAAUGACUUUAUGGGACGUUGGAGUUGAAACAUAUGAUGCUUCAGCAAAACAAAUUUUUUGUAUGUGUGCAGCUAUAUUAUGGACCAUCAAUGAUUUUCCUGCAUAUGAAAAUCUUUUAGGUUGGAGUACUAAAGGGAAUUUUGCUUGUCUUAUUGGUAAUAAGGAUUGUUCUUUAUUUCAAUUACAAAACGUACGAAAAUGGUGUUAUAUGGGUCAUCGUCGAUUUUUGCCGAUUGAUCAUAUAUUUCGACGUGAUAAAAAGUCCUUUGAUGGAAAGGAAGAGCAUAGAGCAGCACCUAAACAAUUGUCUAAGGAAGAUGUUCUACAUCAGUUAUAUGGAAUGGAACAUAUUACUUUAGGGAAGACAUAAAAAAUAAGAUGUCAACAAAAAGAAAAAGAGAACAUGUUGAACUUGAGCACAAUUGGAAAACCCUCAUUUUGCGUCACAAUUUAGAUGUAAUGCAUAUUGAAAAGAAUAUAUGUGACAGUAUAGUUGGCACCUUGUUGAGUAUUGAUGGUAAAUCGAAGGAUAACUUCAAUAGUUGUCUUGACUUGCUAGCUAUGGGUAUUAGAGAUCAAAUUCACCCCAUACAAAGAGGGAAUAAGGUUAUAUUGCCUGCUGCAUGCUAUUCACUAACUUCAAAUGAAAAAAAAGGAAUUUUUUAAAUUUUUGAAAGAAGUAAAGGUUCCAGAGGGUUAUGCUUAUAACAUUUCUCGGAGUCUGCAAGUGAAUGAAAGAAAGAUAUUUGGAUUGAAGUCUCAUGAUUUUCAUGUUCUCAUGCAACAGUUUCUUCCACUUGCAAUUCGAGGAGUUCUACAUAAGAAUGUUUGUGCUAUUAUAGUUGAACUAUAUAGUUUCUUCAAACAAUUGUGCUCUAAAGUUUUAAAGACUAAUCAAUUGGAGCACCUUGAGAAUGACAUAAUAGUCACACUUUGCAAAUUAGAAAAAAUAUUUCUUCCAUCAUUCUUUGAUGUUAUGGUGCAUUUACCUAUUCAUCUUACAAGUGAGGCAAAGGUCGUUGGACCGGUGCAAUAUCGAUGGAUGUAUCCUAUCGAGCGGUAUGUUCUCAUUCAAUUAAUCUUAUGUAUAUUAGGUUUCAUAUAGUUCAUGAAACAAAUCUAUCAUGUUGUGGAAUGACAGGUAUUUACGUACAUUAAAGUCUUAUGUCUGUAAUAAGAGUCGUUUAGAAGGUUCUAUUGCAAAGGGUACAUAGCAGAAGAAUGUACAACCUUUUGUUCAAUAUAUUUGUAUGAUGUUGAAAUGAAGCAUGACCGUGAAGGAAGAAAUUGUGUCAUUGAAAAUAACAUAACAAAUGGAGGGUUAACCAUUUUCAAAUUCAUGGGACGUACAAUAGGAAAGUCAACAUCUCGUGUUCUUAGCAUAGAAGAAUGGUCCUAAGCACAUUUAUAUGUGUUGACUAGUUGUGAGAAAAUGACGCCAUUUAUUGAGUAAGACAUUUGAAUAAAACUUUAUACUAAUUCUCAUGCAAAAAUUUAAUUUUGGUCUUUGUGAGCAUUAUAAUUAAUUUUAUCUUUUUUAUCAAAGAGCAUAAGCAAUCUAUAAGGAUUAAGCCUCGUAUUCGUGCACGAGAUGUAGAUUUGAUUCACAUAAGAGAAUUCAUUAGUUGGUUUGAAGAACGUGUAAGUUCAUUCACUACAUAAAUUGUUAUAUUAUCUAAUACACAUGUAUGUAUUAACAUCUUAUAUUUGAAUCUAUAGAUUAUACAAAUGCGACAUGAAGGUCCAAUUUCUAAACACAUACUAUCAUUGUCUCGUGGACCAAGUACAUCAGUUACAUGUUAUAGGGAUACAUCAUUAAUGGGUUCAAAUUUCACGCAAGAGAAUGAGAAAAUGGAAAAAGAAAUCAAAAUAGUGGAGUUGUUGUGACCAUAGAGGUGUCAAGCUUUGCAAGUGCAAUAGAUAAGAACCCAAUUCCUAGUCAUGUUUCUUACUAUGGUGUGCUAACUGAUGUAAUUGAGUUACAUUACCUUAGUGGAAAUAGAGUUAUUUUAUUCGAGUGUGACUGGUGGGAUGUAAUCAAUAGUGGAAGGGGAAUAAAGAAUGAUGAAUAUGGGUUCACGUGUUUGAAUAUUGAAUGUACCAUAUGCACAGAUGAACCAUUUGUGCUUGCAUCUCAAGCAAAACAAGUCUUUUAUGUUCAAAAUUCAAAUGAGGAAAAUUGGCACACCGUUGUAGAGAUACAAACUCAAAGGGUUUAUGAUAUGAAUCAGAAAGUAACUACUAAUGAUCCAGAGCCAUAUCAAUAGCUUAUAACACUUCAUAGUCAACGUGAUGUGUAUGAGUUAGUCGAGAAUGAUUUAAUCAAUUGGGAUAGAAAUGAUAUUGUAGGAGAAACUAUCCAAACAGAUGUUCUACUAUCACGACAAGAAAACAUUAUUGAAAAAGAUAAUGAAUUUAUUCAUGAUGAUGAUAUAGAUGAUGUGUAGCUAAUAAUAUUAGUAAAUACAUAAAUAUAUACUUACUAGAUAUACAAAUUGUAAUUUAUUUCAUAUUAUUUAUGUAACUUAUUUUGUAUUACUUUUUCUAAUUUACUUUAUUAUGUAGGAAAUGUCACAUUGAAUAGGAAGAGUACAAAUAGUGUGUCUAGAAGAUGAGUUAGACAAUCUAUAACAACUCUCAGACAUACAACCUGCUGCAACUACUACUUCUAGUAGUUCUAGUCCUUCUGAUUCUUUAGAUCCUUCUGUUGUUGGUAUGAUUAAGAAGAUUAUGUUUAACUUUACAUAUGAUAAAUGAGGUUUAAUUUCUUGAAUGAUAGGUUUUUAAUGUUUAAUUUUAUAUAAGAUAAGUAAAUUAUGUUUCUUUUAAUUUCAUUAUUACUCUUAAUAGGUUCCUCCUCUAGCAAAAAGAGGACACGUGACCCAAGACGUAACUUAGAGAUUUACUUAGUAUUAAACCCGGGGAAAAAAAAACUACACGAUUCAAUACCAGAGGGCAAGUUGUUUAUGAUGAAAAAGGGGAAAAAUUGUCAAGCUAUAUGGGAGCAUUGGUGCGAUCUCAACACAAUGUACCCAUCCAAGUUCAAGAUUGGAAUCAUGUUAGUGAAGAUGUGAAGGAAAAGAUUUGGGCCUUAGUAUUGGUAUAUGCUAGUUACUAUUCAAUCUAAAUUGAAAUGUUAUUGUCUAAAAAUGAUACCUCUUAUUUAUACAUGACAUUUUAAUGCAAUAUAGAAAGAAUAUGAACUAGAAGAAACAUGUAAGAGCUACAUUCUUCAAUGUUGUGGAAAUUUGUUUAGAAGCUAUAGAAAUAAAAUGAAGGCCAAGUAUUAUAACCCUUAUAAUACAGAUGAGGAGAGAUUGAGGCAUCGACCUCCACACUUAUCAAAUGAUGAUUGGAGGUGGCUCAUCCACUUUUGGGGCACACUUGAGGCCAAGGUAAAGAUAAUGAUUUUUUCUUGAUAAUGUAUCUUAUGAUACUCAUAUUCACAUAAAAUGAUAUUUAUUAGUUAUAUCUAACCUAAUACUUCAUAUAUGUAACUUUUAUUAUGUUUCUAUUACCUAUAUAGGUGACUUUCUAUUUUUUAAUUGAUGUAGGAUAUCUCAGAAAAAAAAAAAAGGCAAAUAAGGUAAAGCAAGUGAUAUAGCAUUCAUCGGGAUAAAAAAGUUAUGCUCAAAUUUGAUAUGAACAGGUUAGAAAUUUAUUAUUAAUAUGAUUUGUUUGUACAUAAAUAAUUCAUCAUAAAUAACUCAAUUGUUUUGCUUGUAAGAAUAGACACAAAAGAAGGAGGAUCGAAGUCAGCCUAAUAGAAUUGAGAUGUUUGCCCUAACACAUACAAAAAAAAAAUGGGACGCCUGUUGAUGAUCAUUCUAAGGAGAUUAUGGUAAUGAAGUAAAUAAAUUUAUAUACUUGUAUUUCAAUCAUAGCCACAUACUAAAAUUAUUUUAAAAGUCUAACAAUUUUUUUUGUUUUUUAUAAUUCCAGGAUCAAUUUUAGUAAUUACUAUCCCAACCUGAGGGGACAUCUUCUUCUGCUUCUAUAUCAUCUAGAGCAUCUACAUCUGUAGCAUCUACAUCUGUAGAUGAGAUAUAUACUCAACUCAUGGGUCUAGAGAGGCAUGACCAUGUUCGAGGGUAUGAAUUUGGUCCUAUUCCUACCUCAGUCUUUGGUUUUACUAAUAGAAGGCGAUCAGGAGUUAUUCUUUCAACACAACUUGAAAAUCCCCAAGAGAUGCUAAUAGAUAUAGAACAAAAGUUUACAACUACAACUAAAACACUCUCAAAUGUGAAAGAGAAACUCUCACAUGUGAAAGAAACAUUUGAAGAGAGGUUGAUAGAAGUUCAAAGGAAGACAUGAGAAGAAGUGAAAGAAGAGUUUGAAGAAAAAAUUAUGGAAAUGCUAAGAAAAAUGCAAGCACAAAUUCAAGAACAGAUGAUGCAAAUGAUGCAACAAUUUUAGCAAAAGUAGUAGAAAUUUGAAGAUUUUGCUACAUCUUUAUAUGAUAAAUUCUCUUUUUUUUUUUUGAAGAUUAUGCUACUUAUUUAUAUGAUAGAUUUUCCUAACUUUUUUUUUGAAGAUUGUGAUGUUUGGUUGGUUGAUUUGUUAUAUUAUGUUAGAAUGUGAAACUAAAUUUGAAUUUCUUUGUUCUUUGUUUGUUUGCUUUUUUUUUUUUUUUUUUUGUUAUAUUAUGUUUUUGUUAUUUCAUGACUUAUAUUGACAUAUAAGUUUUUAACUAGCUUGGGAUAAUUGAUUGUAAUAUAUUGAACUAUAUUGAAAUUGUUUUAAUUGUUUAAUUGCAUAUAUAGGUCUAAAAUGAGUUUUUUUUAGGUUUAUAACAAGUUUGGGAAAUUUGAAUUUAUAAAAGACCAAUGUCUAAAUAUAACAAAUUUUAGUCACGACCACUAAAAAAUUGUGACCAAAAGUGUACUUUUAGUCACAAUCAAUAAUGAACCAUCAUAAAAAGUUGGGGAUAGGCAAACAUUAUAUGAUUAAUUUUAGUCAUAGUCAUUAAUAGUCAUGACCAUAAGUGUACAUUUUGUCAUAAUAGACCUAACAAUUAGUCACAGUCACUUAAUUAAUCGUGACCAUAUACCUACAUUUAGUCACGAUUAAUGAAUUAACUGUGACCAUAAGAUUACAUUUAAUCACAAUCAUUUAAUUAACCGUGACUAUAGACAUACAUUUAGUCAUGAUUAAGGAUUGAUCGUAACCAUAAGUUUACAUUAAUCCAUAAGUUGACAUUUAGUCACGGUAACUUACUUGACCAUGACCAUAAGCUUACAUAUUGUCACGAUCACUAACUUUACCCGUGACUAUAAGUGUACAUUUAGUCACAAUUUAUUACUUGACCAUAACUAUAGGUUAAACAUAUAGUCACAAUUUAUUACCUGACUGUGACUAAAUCAACUAAUAAACAAUAAAAUAUUUCUAACUUUUGGUCACAAUUUUUGUAUGGCCAUCACAAAAAAAGAAAUCAUAUGAUCACGAUCACUUAGGAAACUGUGACCAAUACCUUUAGCUACGUCUCGUACUGUGAAGCUUGGUCACGGUUUCAUAAGACCGUGACAAUAGGUUUUGGUCACGGAUAUAUUAAGAUUUGGUGAUGGUUGGGGACCGUCACCUAAAAUCCUAUUUCUUGUAGUGUAAAGAUAUUUAUAAUGGAAGCCCAUUUCAGAUUGCUUGGCCCUUUCAUGCAGUAGGUAAAAGUCAUCUAAGUGCUGUGUUACUGUGCUGUCAUUUUGCUUAAUCCGUUUAGUUUUGGUUCUUGACUUUGCAUAAUUUCAGAUUUUAUUUAGUUCAGAAUUGAUUUGGCUUAUGUUCAAUCCUUCAGAUGUGUGUAAAUCCAAUGUUUUAACACUAGAGAUUAUUGCUAUUUAGAGAGCAAUCUUUUUGGAAAGUUUUGAAAGACAACAAACAGUGCCUUUCUCAAAGAAAAAUGCUUUCCUGAGGAGAUUAUUAUGUAAUUAUCAGCAAUGGUGAUUGUUUAAAGAUGAAAGUGAGGGAUUGUGUUGAGCCUGGUCCAAAAUCCUCACAUGAUUCCUAAAUAGGCUGAUUCCCAUGCUCUGUUUUUUGUUUCCUGGGUUGCAAAAACCCCAAAUCUUCAAGAUCUGAAGGUGCUAUGUCUGGAAACCUGGUUAAUCAAAUGUCACCAAGUCAAGGAUGCAUGUCUAGAACGAAUAUUUUCUGGUUUUCAAGAAAGCUGGAUUGGUAGAUAUUGCAGCUUUCAACUUUGCCAGUGUACUAUCCGCCACUUGACUGCAGCCCAGUGGACUUGUCCAUCCUAGCAGCAGAAUAAAGGGGAUCCUUCCUCAUGCGUGAUCAGAUGCCUCGGUCGAUCAAUCACAGCUCAAAUAUGUUUAGUAUAAAGGUGGAGCUUCGAACUCGCGACAUCCUAAAAAACCUAUGUGUUCAAAGCACUAUGAGGGUCAAAUUAAAUAAGAAUUCUAAAAUUCAUGGAUGGAAGCUUCACAUAAGCACAUUAUGCUAAUUGUAAAAAAGCAAAUAUAUUCUUAAUGGAGAAGUAUUAGACAAUUUUCUCAUUCUAAUGCUUUUGGGAGAAAGGAAAGAAAAAAGAAGGAAGAAAAUAAAAAAGAAAAAGUAAAAAGAGAAAGUGGAGAUUGGCCUGGCCAAAACACUGGAAUUAAUGCAAGUGGCAGGAAGAGAAUCGAUGCCCACCACUACACUGUGAAACAAGACAAAAGACAAUCACGUAAUAGGAAAUGAGGCACGAGGAAAAAGUACUUUCUAUAUAUAAUCUUCAAAAUUGAAUGCCUCAGCAGCACCUACUCCACUAGCGUUGAUAACUUUUUCUAGCUUAUUUCAUCCUUCUACCCCUCCAUUCUCAUGUCUCUGCGGAAGAGUAUGGUUAACAGAGGUCUCCUCAUUCUCACCUGCUUCUUCUCAUUCGUGAUUCAGCUAUGCUUGGCUUCAAAGACCAGGCACUUCAAAUGGGAAGUGGAGUACAUGUACUGGUCACCAGAUUGUAUGGAGGGUGUCGUGAUGGGAAUCAAUGGGCAGUUCCCAGGGCCAACUAUCCGGGCUGUUGCAGGAGAUACUAUUGUAGUUGAGCUCACAAACAGGCUUCACACUGAGGGUGUCGUCAUUCAUUGGCAUGGAAUCAGACAGGUUUUGGUUUUCGUCUAUUUUGCAUUCGAUAUUAUAUUCUUAUCCAUUAACUCAUGAUUCAAACUUUUGAGCGAAAUUCCACAGUUCGGAACUCCAUGGGCAGAUGGGACUGCAUCCAUCUCACAAUGUGCCAUUAAUCCUGGAGAGACCUUCAUCUACAGAUACAAAGUUGAUAAGGUAAAGUCAGUGUCUUAUGGCCUCUCUCUCAUAUAUUAUUGACCUGCUCCACUUGAUGGAUUAUUUUCAGAGGACCCCAGCACUUCUUGAUUGGUCAGUUUCUUGUAGUGGCCGCUUAAGCCAUGCUCUUACAAAGUUGUGAAAUGUUAUGGUGCAGGCUGGCACAUACUUUUACCAUGGACACUACGGAAUGCAAAGAUCUGCUGGACUGUAUGGAUCUCUGGUAGUAGAGGUUGGUGAAGGUCAAAAGGAACCUUUCCAUUACGAUGGGGAGUUCAAUCUGUUGUUGAGUGAUUGGUGGCAUAAGGGAAGUCAAGAGCAAGAAGUGGCCCUCUCGUCCAAACCAUUUCGUUGGAUUGGCGAACCCCAGGUAACCGUCAAUCUCUUCUUGUCCCUAUUUUCUACGCCUCUACGGUCAAUUUCAAAACGGUCGUUUUUCAGUAUGGAGUAGUUGGUAUUUGGUGAAACCCUUGUCUUGUUGACUACGUUUUGAAAUUAUUAAGCACCAAAAAACUGGGGGAAAAAGUCAAAACAAGAGGAAGUCUUGGUUGUCCAUUAAUCAUUAAUUCUGUGGAAUAUUGUUUUCAGACUCUGCUCAUCAACGGAAGAGGCCAGUACAAUUGCUCUCUAGCCGCCCACGUUACCAACUCCUCCUCUCCCCAGUGCCAAUUCCGUGGAAAUGAACAAUGUUCACCCCAGAUCCUCCAUGUGCAGCCCCAUAAAACUUACAGGCUCAGGGUCUCCAGCACCACCGCACUCGCUUCACUGAAUUUGCAAAUUGGGGUACUAACCAUAUCACUCUAUUUUCUCCCUUCUGUCAACUUUUCUUUAUGAAUCUAUGCCUCAAGUGAUAAGAUAUUCUGAUUGCAAUUGGGUGGUUGACACGUAACAAAUAAAGAAUGAAAGAACCACCCUAUUGGCCCUUGGGGGGACUGCCUACACAUAUUAUACUAUUUUAGGAAGAUAGUGGUCACACUCGACCAAACCCACCAAGUCGUAAAGUAUUAGAAAAUAUCACUCUUAUCAUGACAAUUUGUCAAUAAGAUACGGAAUUGAGGAUGUGAAAUAAAGUUCGAAAAGAAGAAAAAAGUUAGGAUAAGAUAAUAGAAAAUAAGCAAAAAGUAAGAAGCUUUUCCUGUUGCAAUUAUUUUUUUAUUUUAAAAAAUAUAAAGUAAUAUGCCCAAAAAGCAAAAAAAAAAAAAAAAAAAAAUUAGUCAAAAAGCCUGGUUGAAAAUUUUGCUUCAUAGAUUGGCGUGACGGCAAUAGUUGUGAGUUAAUUAAACGUGGGAUAAAAAUAAGAAAAUGACACUUAAAUUAUUCACUUCACGACAUAGCUACAUUCUUUUCUAUUGGUACUUCUUUUUCUCUCUCAUGCAUAAAAGGUGGGAAUCGAGAAUCGAUUCCCUAUGAAAAUUUGAUUUUAAAUUUUGUGAUGCUCAUGCCUUAUACAUAUGUAUUAUUGAUUGAGAAAUUCAACCAGAAGCAUUUAUUAGUUCAUGGAAGUGGUCUUUAAAAAAUGUCCAUGUCAAAGGUAAAGGGAAUUGUUCUCUUUAGUAUUAUUUGCUGACAGCGGUUCAACAUGCCUACUGUCCUUCUCCCCCAACUUGGACGUUUUUGUCCCAAAAUGCAUAUGGUGCAUGUGACUUGCCCGGUCCAUUUUGUUUAAAAAUAUCUUCUUGUGGUCCUCUACAACUGUGAGAAUUAUAUUCUUCACGUUAAACCAUCCUACUUGAUGGUGGCUUCAUCUGACCACUAAAGACUUUAUUGAUUGAAUUACACAGACCUCAUUGUAUAUAUAGGUAUAGGACCCAUGAUGAUUUUGACAUUUUAAGACUUUUUUUUUCUACUUUUUUGACACUUCGAAAUUUAUCCUACAACUUUUUUCUCAGAAGUAUUAUUUUUCAUUUUGAUACUUUUUUCUUGAAUGACUUCCAGAUAAAGUCUUCAUUGAAACAUAAAGCUUAGAAUAUUUGUACAUACACGAAACAUACCCCAAAUUUCAGAAAAGCUUGAAUUAGAUACAUCAGGAAAAUGGGUUCAAAGUUGGAUAGAAAGAGAUUCAAAACAAUAGGACCGGUCCUAUGAUUUAGCAGACAAAAUAUUCUGAAUUUCAGAAAAUUUACACUAAAUAUGAACACCUGCGUAAGUAAAACUUUCCAUAAGAAGUUCUGUAUUGCUCCUUUUAUGUCACACACCAUGUGUUUUGUCUUCUUCUGAUUUGAAAUAAACAUCAUGCCUUGUUGAACCGUAAGUUGAAAAGAGGAGACAUAGCUGGUGAGUCUAGUACUACUAUUUUUUACUGUUCACAUGUGAUUGGGCAGUGCUAGAUUUGGCUUUGUCGUUGCUCCAUCCAUGAAUGCACUGGAUCUGGUGGAGCCAACUAGAGCUUACGGGGGCCAUGUGCCUCUGAAAAUAUAAAAACAAAAAACACCUCCCGUACUUCUUGCAGUAGGGGGACUCCAACCCAUAAAAAACUACCUCCACUUCUUGGAAUUGAAGACUCGAACCCAAGACCGUUAUUGCACCUAACAAUGACAAGCUAGACCGUUGGACUAACAGAUGCAUGUGCUAAAAAGUGCUCCUUUGAACUGAACUGCCGGCUCCACAGUGAAAGGUAGAUUUUUAUUGUUUAUUCUUCACUAGGCAUGCGGUGUGAUUUGAAAUUGAGGUUAAUGUGCCAUUCUUUAUCCUUUUUAAAUUUAAUUUUCCUUUUUCAAUGUCUUUGUUUAUAUAUACUUAUUAAGUUGUUUUAAGAAAAAGUAAUUUUAAGGUAAUGAUUUUGUUUCCACCAACUUGUAAAUGUAACUGAGAUUGACGCAUUCAUUUGUUAUUAUGCUGUUACAUAGAAUCACAAGAUGGUGAUGGUGGAAGCAGAUGGAAACUAUAUUCAGCCAGUGGCAGUGGAUGACUUAGACAUUUACUCUGGAGAGAGCUACUCUGUUUUGAUCCACACUGACCAAGACCCCUCCAAGAACUACUGGAUUUCAGUUAGUGUAAGAGGAAGAGAGCCCAAGACUCCUCAAGGCCUCACCAUUCUCAACUACCAAACAACUUCAGCUUCAAAGCUCCCAACAUCUACACCUCCAGUGUCUCCUCUUUGGAAUGACUACAACCACAGCAAAUCUUUCUCCAACAAAAUCCUGGCCCUCAUGGGCUCCCCCAAGCCUCCAACCACCUACAACCGCAGAAUCAUCCUCCUCAACACUCAAAACACUAUCAAUGGAUUCACCAAAUGGGCUAUCAAUAAUAUAUCCCUAACAUUGCCUCCAACUCCUUAUUUGGGUGCCAUUAAGCAUCGUUUGAGCAACGCUUUCGAUCAGAAGAGUCCACCAGAGAACUUUCCCAACGAUUAUGAUGUGAUGAAACCUCCAACAAACACUAACUCGACAUAUGGGAAUGGGGUGUACAUGCUUGAGUUUAGGACAACGGUCGACGUGAUUCUUCAAAAUGCCAAUGCAUUAGCAACAGGUGUCAGUGAAAUACACCCUUGGCACCUGCAUGGUCAUGAUUUUUGGGUGUUGGGAUAUGGAGAAGGAAAGUUUAGGGAAAAGGAUGCGAAGAGGUUUAACUUAAAGAAUCCACCAUUGAGGAAUACUGCAGUGAUAUUCCCUUUCGGAUGGACAGCUCUUAGGUUUGUGGCGGAUAAUCCUGGGGUUUGGGCAUUUCACUGCCACAUUGAGCCUCAUUUGCAUAUGGGAAUGGGAGUGGUCUUUGCCGAAGGUGUUCAUCUGGUCAAAGAUGUACCAAACCAUGCUCUUGCUUGUGGCUUGACCGGGAAAAUGUUGAUGAGUAACUACAGUCACCACUGAGAAUAGCUAGCUGGCAACCUAGCUGAAGCUAUCUUCAAUUUUUGUGUGGUACAUACAUGCAAUUAAAAGCCUAUUUAUUUAGUUGGAAAACUGAGAACCAAAUUCUAUUUGAAGAGAGAUUUAGUCUUGUGUUUGGUUUCUUAUGUUUUGGCAAUGGUUGUGAUAUUUAAUGUAUGACAAGUAAAUUUUCCACAAUUGCACUUUGAAUUACUAUAAAACUAGAUUCCCAUCUCGUUUAUAGGGGUUGAAGUAGGACUGAUUCAUGAGAUCAACUUACAUGCUCAAUCCAUUCAAAUAGGGUGUGUUAGCAUGAAUAGCCAUGUGUUGAGUGGCAAUUGAUAUGGUCUGGAUUUAGGAGUCCUUCGAGAGUGAUAUUCAUAAAAGUGCUUUCAGUAUGUAGCGUUUUUUGUAAUGGUAUAUAUAGCAAAAAAAAAAAAAAGUGCUUUAGUAUUUUAGAAGUACAUAACAAGUGCUAAUCCAAAAAUUACUUAAAAUUUUAAAAGUGAUUUUAAUAACAUUGAUAAAUGUCUAAUAUUUAAAAGAAAAACCUUUUUGGCUGCAUUUAGUAGGUAGGGUUAAAUGGUGGGCUAGGAUUUUUUUUUUUUUUUUUUGAUAGAUAAACAGUCAAAUAUAUUAGAAGAGGCUAAAAAAGCCGCAUGUAUACAGGGGGUAUACUAAACAGCCCCAAAAGAGGCUGGAACAUCAACAAAAAAGGUUAAAAACCUCACCCACCCUCAAGUGGUCCCAAGCCACUCCAAAAAGCCUAACAGAGAGUAGGUUUCCUCACCAAUGUACACCUUAGCCCAACCCCACAAAUUACAAACAAAAGAAUUCUUGAAUUUCUAAAUAUCUAAAGACCCUCCCCUAAACACUAUCCUAUUCCUUUCCUUCCAAACCGUCCAAAAAAUGCACAGCGGUAUGGAAUUCCAUAUUUUUUUUCUUUUUUUUCCCACAAAAGAACCCCUCCAACUAUGAAGCACCUCUAUAACCGACUCUGGGAACACCCAUUGAACUCCGAAAAUGACAAGGGUAAUCUCCCAAAUAGUUUUAACCACUGUACAAUGUAAGAGAAUAUGAUUCGCAUUUUCCUCUUCGCAUCCACAUAAAUAACACCGAUUAGGUAGCUGCCAUCCCCUUCUUUGAAGCUUAUCCAAAGUGAGGAUCUUCCCCCACGCUGCCUCCCAAGCAAAAAAAGACACUUUUGUUGGAACCCUAUCCAUCCAAAUGCGUCUAUUCGGAAAAGCACCAACUGAGUAGCCGCUCAAACUUCUGUAGGCCCCCUUGGCCCCAAAAACGUCGUUGCCUUCCCGCUUCCAUCUCACUGAGUCCUCCUCCUGAGAAAUCCUGAAAUCCUUCAGAAGAUUCAGCAUUUCUCCUAUCUGAUCUAUCUCCCAAUCAUUGAAAUCUCUAGCCAAACUGAGAUUCCACCCUCCUUGCCCCAAACUAGAAUCCCACACUUCGCAAACUUUGGCAUUCUUAUGACCCGCCAAGGUAAACAACUGAGGAAAAGUUUGAGAAAGCGCCUCAUUGCCACACCACUUAUCCAUCCAAAACAAAACUCUAUUCCCCUUCCCAACCUUAAGGUCCAUGCUCUCCCAACACCACUCCGCCUCUUUCAUUAUCUCCUUCCACAACCCCACCCCAUAAGGCCCACAAACUUCCUUAGUCCUCCACCCACAUCCCUCUUGACCAUAUUUCACCCCUAUCGCCUUUUUCCAUAGGUUAUCCUUCUCAUAGGCAUAUCUCCAUACCCAUUUGCCCAACAAUGUUUUGUUCAACAAAUCUAUCUUUCGGAUGCCUAAUCCCCCCUCCUCCUUAGGGCUGCAAACCACUUGCCAAUUAAUCAAAUGAACUUUCCCCUCCAAGCUUCCUCCCCCCCACAAGAAAUCUCUUUGGAUUUUUUCAAUCCUUUUUGCCACCACCUUAGGAAUUCGAAUAAGUGAAAGGAGGUAGAUGGGUAUGCUGGCCAAGGUGCUCUUAAUAAGAGUAAUUCUUCCCCCCUUGGAGAUAUAUUGCCUUUUCCACUGGGCCAAUCUUCUUCUCAUUCUCUCUUCCACCCCAUCCCAAGAAGAGGCGUUUUUAUGAUUGGCUCCAAGGGGCAGCCCCAAGUAAACAGCGGGUAAAGCCCCCAAUUUACAACCCAGCUCAGCCGCCAAUUCCUCCAUCCCAUCCACUUCCCCCACCGGAAUAAGGACACUCUUAGCCAGAUUAAUUCUCAAGCCGGAGGCAGCCUCAAACCACGCCAAAAUCCAGCUUAGAUUGGUCAGUUGCUCUCUUCUAGCUUUGCAAAAAAUUAGAGUGUCGUCAGCAAAGAGGAGGUGCGAAACAGUCAGCUCAUCCCCCCCUCUCCCCCGCAUCCUACAGCCUGAAAUAAAGCCCCCUUCACCAGCCCGUCUAAUCAUGGUGCUAAGCACUUCCAUACCCAAAACAAAAAGAUAAGGAGAGAGGGGAUCUCCNNNNNNNNNNNNNNNNNNNNNNNNNNNNNNNNNNNNNNNNNNNNNNNNNNNNNNNNNNNNNNNNNNNNNNNNNNNNNNNNNNNNNNNNNNNNNNNNNNNNUUUUUUUUUUUUUUUCCCACAAAAGAACCCCCUCCAAUUAUGAAGCACCUCUAUAACCGACUCUGGGAACACCCAUGAAACUCCGAAAAUGACAAGGGUAAUCUCCCAAAUAGUUUUAACCACUGUACAAUGUAAGAGAAUAUGAUUCACAUUUUCCUCUUCGCAUCCACAUAAGUAACACCGAUUAGGUAGCUGCCAUCCCCUUCUUUGAAGCUUAUCCAAAGUGAGGAUCUUCCCCCACGCUGCCUCCCAAGCAAAAAAAGACACUUUUGUUGGAACCCUAUCCAUCCAAAUGCGUCUAUUCGGAAAAGCACCAACUGAGUGGCCGCUCAAACUUCUGUAGGCCCCCUUGGCCCCAAAAACGCCGUUGCCUUCCCGCUUCCAUCUCACUGAGUCCUCCUCCUGAGAAAUCCUGAAAUCCUUCAGAAGAUUCAGCAUUUCUCCUAUCUGAUCUAUCUCCCAAUCAUUGAAAUCUCUAGCCAAACUGAGAUUCCACCCUCCUUGCCCCAAACUAGAAUCCCACACUUCACAAACUUUGGCAUUCUUAUGACCCGCCAAGGUAAACAACUGAGGAAAAGUUUGAGAAAGCGCCUCAUUGCCACACCACUUAUCCAUCCAAAACAAAACUCUAUUCCCCUUCCCAACCUUAAGGUCCAUGCUCUCCCAACACCACUCCGCCUCUUUCAUUAUCUCCUUCCACAACCCCACCCCAUAAGGCCCACAAACUUCCUUAGUCCUCCACCCACAUCCCUCUUGCCCAUAUUUCACCCCUAUCGCCUUUUUCCAUAGGUUAUCCUUCUCAUAGACAUAUCUCCAAACCCAUUUGCCCAACAAUGUUUUGUUCAACAAAUCUAUCUUUCGGAUGCCUAAUCCCCCCUCCUCCUUAGGGCUGCAAACCACUUGCCAAUUAAUCAAAUGAACUUUCCCCUCCAAACUUCCUCCCCCCCACAAGAAAUCUCUUUGGAUUUUUUCAAUCCUUUUUGCCACCGCCUUAGGAAUUCGAAUAAGUGAAAGGAGGUAGAUGGGUAUGCUGGCCAAAGUGCUCUUAAUAAGAGUAAUUCUUCCCCCCUUGGAGAUAUAUUGCCUUUUCCACUGGGCUAAUCUUCUUCUCAUUCUCUCUUCCACCCCAUCCCAAGAAGAGGCGUUUUUAUGAUUGGCUCCAAGGGGCAGCCCCAAGUAAACAGCGAGUAAAGCCCCCAAUUUACAACCCAGCUCAGCCGCCAACUCCUCCAUCUCAUCCACUUCCCCCACCGGAAUAAGGACACUCUUAGCCAGGUUAAUUCUCAAGCCGGAGGCAGCCUCAAACCACGCCAAAAUCCAGCUUAGAUUGGUCAGUUGCUCUCUUCUAGCUUUGCAGAAAAUAAGAGUGUCGUCAGCAAAGAGGAGGUGCGAAACAGUCAGCUCAUCCCCCCCUCUCCCCCGCAUCCUACAGCCUGAAAUAAAGCCCCCUUCACCAGCCCGUCUAAUCAUGGUGCUAAGCACUUCCAUACCCAAAACAAAAAGAUAAGGAGAGAGGGGAUCUCCUUGCCGCAGCCCCUUUGAGUUCGAAAAGAAACCAGCUGGAACCCCAUUGAUUAAUAUAGAGAAUUUGGCGGUAGAAAUACACCACCUCAUCCAUUCCUCCCACCGAGACCCAAAUCCCAUCUUCCGAAGAACCUUCAUAAGGAAGUUCCAAUUGAUACUAUCAUAAGCUUUUUCAAUGUCCAACUUACAUAUCAACCCUUUCUCUUUUCUUUUAUACCAAUAAUCAAUCACCUCAUUAGCUACUAGAGAAGCAUCCAAAAUCUGUCUCCCUCUCACAAAGGCGUUUUGGUCAACUGAGACCACUCUGUCCAGCACUUUCUUUAGCCUAUUUGCUAGGACUUUGGCUAAAAGUUUAUACAAACUCCCAAGCAAACUAAUUGGCCUAAAGUCCCCCAAGUCAUCAGCUCCUCCUUUCUUGGGAAUAAGGACCAAAAAGGUGGUAUUAAGAGACUUGGCAAAGGAUUCAUACUCAAAGAAUUCCUUAAACAGUUUCAUCACCUCCUCCUUCACCACAUCCCAGCAAUCUUGCCAAAAGGCCAUUGUGAACCCAUCCGGACCUGGAGCUUUAUCACCCCUCAUCUCCAUUAGUGCAAAAUGAAUUUCCUCCUCAGAGAAGGGCACCUCCAAAUUUUCAGCUUCCCGGGAAUUAAGCUGUUUGAGCUGCAGGCCCUCAAUAUCUGUUCUCCACCCCGGCUCUUCUGAAAGUAAAUUCUGGAAAGCAUUCACUAUCCCCUCCCUCACCUCUUGAUCCUCAGUCAGCAACUCCCCAUUAAUUGUAAUCCUAUCCAAAGAAUUAUUCCUGCGAUGAGCAUUGGCCAUACGAUGAAAAUAACCGGUAUUCCUAUCCCCUUCCUUUAGCCACAGCUCCCUAGAUUUCUGCCUCCACUGAAUUUCCUCCAUUAGCACCCAUUUAUAAAAGACAUGGCUAGGAUUUUGAAAAAUUAUCAACUACUUUGGUAUUGAUGCAAGCAAGAAACAAAGGUAAUGUGUACAACAACAAAGAAAUGAAGAAGUUUCUUAUUUUCUAUAUCCAAAAAUGUAUAGGCAGGUGAGUAUUUAUAUACAAAAAACUUAGCAAAAUGAUAGCUGAAAAAUAACAAACUACAAACUAAAAAACUCAUUGCUAACUAACUAAAAUUAAGUUGCGACUUAACUACUAACUUUCUGUACAUCCUCCCUGCAAGUUGGAGCUUGGUGAAAAUCAAACAAGCCUUACUUGGACAACAAAAAUGAAAAAGUAGGAGCAGAUAAAGCUUUUGUGAAUAUGUUUGCAAUGUGAAGCUUUGAAGAAAUGUGAUGAGGUAAAAUAAAUCCUUGCUUGAAUUUAUCUUGAACCAAGUGACAAUCAAUCUCCAAAUGUUUGGUACGAUCUAAAAUACAAGAUUAGUUGUAAUGUGGAGAGUUGCAUGGUUGUCACACUAAGGAGGAAUAGAGAGAGAAGGAAGAAAACCAAAAUCUUGUAAGAGAUAAGAUAUCCAUUGCAAUUCACAAACAGUGGAAACCAUGCUUCUAUAUUUAGCUUUAGCAGAAGAACGGGACACAGUAGUUUGUUUCUUGGUUUUCCAAGAAAUCAAAGUUGAUCCAAAGAAAAUACAAUAACCAGUAAGAGACCUUCUAGUAUCAAUGCAAGAGGCCCAAUCAACAUCACAAUAAGCUUGAAGCUUAAAAGAAUUACUAGAAAGGAAAAAUAUUCCUUCAAAGUGACAACCCUUGAGAUAGUGUAGAGCAUGUAAGGCAGCAUCCCAAGAGCUUGGCAAGGAGCAUGAACAAAUUGACUUAGUUGUUGAACAACAUAAGUAAAAUCAGGUCAAGUAAAUCCCAAAUAGAGAAGACCUCCAAUUAUUCUUCUAUAUUUGUCUAGAUUGGAGAGUAAAGAGCCCAUAGUUGUAGAAAAUUUGUGGCCUGGAGGAAGUGGAGUAGUAGCAGGUUUGACGCCUAAUAAACCUGUGUCCUUAAGAAUGUCCAUAACAUACUUUCUUGAUUGAUAUAAGUACCAGUAGUAGAACGAGCUAUCUCAAGACUAAGAAAAUACUUGGCAUAACCAAGAUCUUUAACUGUAAAUUGAGAAUAUAGAAAUUGCUUAACAGCAACAAUAUCAUCCUCAUUAGUUACUAUGACUAAAACAUCAUCCACAUAGAUAAUCAAGGCUAGAAAAACAUGGUCUGAUUGUUUGACAAACAAACAAUUAUCAUGAACUAACUGAUGAAAACCAAAUUGUUUCAAUUUUAUAGUAAAUUCAUAAUUCCACUACCUAGAUGCCUGUUUAAGAUCAUAUAGAGAUUGUUUAAGUUUACAUACUUGACUUGGUAUGGCAUUAGUAUAACCUUCUAGAGGCUGCAUAUAGACUUUUUUCAUCCAAAUAAUCAUGCAAGAAAACAUUGUUGAUAUCUAAUUGAUGAAUUGGCCAAGACUUUGUAGUAGCAAUAGCUAGUAACAACUUGAUGAUAACAAGCUUAGCAACAGGUGAAAAAUUGUCAAAAUAAUCUAUCCAUUCUAUUUUAUUAUAACCUUUUGCCUCUAGUCUUGCUUUAAACAUAUCAACACUACCAUCAGGUUUAAGUUUAACCUUGUAGACCCAUUUGGAACCAAUGGCUUUCUUACCCACAGGUAAACUUUUUAAAUCCCAAGUAUGAUUAUCCUCUAGAGCAGCAAGCUCUUUGUUCAUUCCUACAACCCAUUUUGCAUGAACGCUAGCCUGUUUAUAAGAAAUUGGUUCGGGAAAAGCUAUAAGAAGUAAUGAAUGGAAAAAUGUUGGGUGUUUAGGAAGAAGUAGGAUCAAGAGUUGUGAUUGAAGAAGCAUUGUUAGUAGAUGAAGUAAUAGAAUCUAUAAUAUUUGAAACAAAGUCAUUCAACCAAGUUUGUUUCCUUUUAACUUGAGUACUGUGCCUUGGAGAUAAAACAAGAGGAAUAGAUAUAGAAGUAGAGAGCAAGACAGGUAGAGUAGAUAUAGAUGAAUCAUAAUGUGUAGAGGAAUGAGAAAUAGAAAGAACAUCACUCCUUAUUUAGGUACCUAAAUAAUCCUCCUCAACACUCAAAACACUAUCAAUGGAUUCACCAAGUGGGCUAUCAAUAAUAUAUCCCUAACAUUGCCUCCAACUCCUUAUUUAGGUGCCAUUAAGCAUCGUUUGCAAAACGCUUUCGAUCAGAAGAGUCCACCAGAGAACUUUCCCAACGAUUAUGAUGUGAUGAAACCUGCAACAAACACUAACUCGACAUAUGGGAAUGGGGUGUACAUGCUAGAGUUUAGGACAACGGUCGACGUGAUUCUUCAAAAUGCCAAUGCAUUAGCCACAGGUGUCAGUGAAAUACACCCCUGGUCAUGAUUUUUGGGUGUUGGGAUAUGGAGAAGGAAAGUUUAGGGAAAAUGAUGCAAAGACGUUUAACUUGAAGAAUCCACCAUUGAGGAAUACUGCAGUGACAUUCCCUUUCGCAUGGACAGCUCUUAGGUUUGUGGCGGAUAAUCCUGGGGUUUGGGCAUUUCACUGCCACAUUGAGCCUCAUUCGCAUAUGGGAAUGGGAGUGGUCUUUGCUGAAGGUGUUCAUCUG